GGGGGGACAGGUUUACAUGGAAGUCCUAGUCGGGUACAAGCCCAUGAGUCCUACCCGGGUACUUCUCGGGUAGUUUCUUACCGUGUCCGACUAGUUUCACUACUGUAUGAGUAGUCCUACUGCACAACGAGUAGUUACAACAGAUACAGGGCAUUGGCUAUGUCCCAUCCCGUAUCCUAGGAGAAAUAUGCCACAUGUACAGUCUCGUGUACCGGGCCUGAGAGGACCUCCUCGAGAAACAAGUAUGGACGUAGACUUCACUCAUGUUUGGCAUGCUAUUGGAUGGGAUGGUUUUGUGCCCAUUGAGGAGAAUGGUUCUCAUCUCCUCACUAUCCAGAUUUCAAGCCAAUCCUAAGGAAUGUCACUUAAUGGAUGUUAAGAGAAUUUUGAGAUAUUUAGUACAUACUCCUAACCUUGGCUUGUUGUAUGCCAAAGGCUCCACUUUCGAUAUACUUGGCUAUUCUGAUUCGGAUUAUGCCGGUUGCAAGGUAGAUGGAAAGAGUACAAUAGGAACUUCUCAAUUUCAUGGAAGGUCCCAAGUGUCUUGGAGCUCUAAGAAACAGAAUUCGGUUGCUUUGUUCACCGUGGAAGCAGAAUAUGUUGCAGUGGGUGCUUGUUGUGCCCAACUUUUAUGGAUGACUUGAGUGACUUCGGUUGUGAGUUUAGCAAGAUUCCGCUCUUGUGUGACAAUGAGAGUGCGAUCAAGCUAGCUAACAAUUCGAUGCAACACUCCCGAACAAAGUAUAUAGAUAUAAGACAUCACUUCUUACGGGAUCAUGAGGCUAAGGGAGAUACUGCUUUACAUCAUGUGAGCACCGAACGACAACUUGCCGAUAUCUUCACUAAGCCACUAGAUGAGCAAAGGUUUUGUGUCUUGAGGAGUGAACUAAAUAUCUCAGAUUCUCGUAACUUGGCUUGACUUAUUGCACAUACUUGAUUGUUUCCUAGAUAGGAAAAAUGAAUUUACUUGUGUUGAGUUGUUUUUAAAAUAUUUGGAUUUUGAUCUUUGGAUCAAAACUUGACUCUUGUGAUCAUUAUUAUGAAUUGUUGUUUGUGGCUGAUCACUAAGUGUCAAGUUGUCUCAUAUGUCUCAAGCCAUAUCUAUCAAAAUCUCCAAAUUUGUUCAAAUCUGAAAAUCUAUCUUUUGGAGAAAGUAAGCUACCAUCGGAACUUCUGAUACCAAGUCGAAACUUCCGACGUUCAUCGGAGGUAUCACCAUUGUUCCGAUCAAGGGUCUUUGGGAGGCAAAAAUAAUAUUCAUCGGAACUUCCAAUGCCGGGUCGGAACUUCCAGAUAAUCGUCGAAUCUUUCAGCAUUCUUCCGACCAAAGGUUCUCGGGUUCGAAUUAUUUUAUUAGUCGGAACUUCCGACCCCCCAUCGGAACUUCUGACAAUUCAUUCACACCUAUAUAUACCUGUUGGACAGCCCCCAAAACCCUAACUCCUCCCUUCAAACACCACCGACGCCCCACUCUCUUCUCUCUCAAACUCUUGAGGGGAUUUCAAGAAUCAACCGUGGGAUUUCAUUGCUUGGUGUUUCUUUGGAUUCUUCACUCCUUGGAAGAUCCGAUCCCCAUCAUCUUUUCUCCGAUUCGCGUGGGAAAUCUUUGAGGUAAAUCAUUUAAAAAUCCCAUCACCCGAUCUCUCAAUGUAGAAGGAGUUAGAUUAUUUCCUUUUGGGGAUAGCUUCUAGAUACAUCCUAGAACUCAUGUAUAGAAUCUUGUCAAAAUUGGUGGGCUCAAUCUCUAAUUUCAUGGAUCAUUGGCUCAGCUCAGGUCCUGUCGGAACUUCCGACACGCGCCUGAGUCGUCCAAUUUUGGUUCAUUUGAUUCCUUUCUUUCGAUCCAUCCUAAUGAUCGUCAUAUAUUCUUCAGAUGGCUCAUGAAAAGAGAGGCAAGCAGCAUGGUGCAUCUCCGGAAAGUGAAUCACCUACCUCAUCCGAUUUUGAGGCAAUCGAGGAAGCAUCACAGGUUAUCCAUCGCACAGCAAAGAGAAAAGCUUUUCCAAAAGUUCCUUUGCGCUCUCGUGGUCGUGGACGACCAAAUCCUCAAGGAACUUUGGGUCAAGGUGCUCGUCCUCACAUUAAGCGUGCUUCCGCUCCGGAUUCUCAUAUGGCAGAUGCAGGAGAGUCCCUAGAGUAUCUUGAGAGGAUUAUUAGUCAGAUGCAGCCACCUAUUAGGCAAACUGAUCCUCAGUACAAUGGGACUUGUCCAACAGAUUACACAAAGGGCAAGCAUGAUCUUUAUGCCAAGAGAUAUGAUGAUCCCUCUUGGUACGCCAAGGAGCAGCAAGGGAUGUCCGCUUUUGGAUGAACUUUCAUGCUGAUUGGUAUGACUCAGUGAUUCUUUGCAAAUCUCAUCCUACCACCAAGAUGAAGUCCAUCAACAGGGACUAUUUGAUGGAUAUUGAUUUGCCGGUGGUGCGGGAAGCUCAAGAUGCUUGUAGAAGGAUGAAUCUCACCUCAAUUAUGUCGUUCAAUUGUGAUUGGAAUGAGGAGGUCGUAGCUCAAUUCUAUGCAGCACUCUAUGUCAACUGCUCGACAAAGACCUUCCAUUGGACUAUACAAGGCAAGCCAUUUUCUGUUGAGUAUGCACAGUUUGCAAGUAUUCUAGGAUUCACUAAUGCUGAUCUCAUAAGCGAGAAGAUACAUGAGAAGGAAAAUGUGCUAGAUAAUGGAGAGCUCCACUUCAUGUAUGACAGUGCCUAUGGUGACAUUCAGUUUGGGACUAUACAUGGGUUGACACCUUACUAUAAGAUGCUCAACCAACUCUUCCGCUACACUCUGAGUCCCAAAGGAGGUGAUUCGUACAACAUCUCCAACAUGUCCAAAAAUUUGCUUGCAAGGAUGGCUCCCAAUUAAAAUGAAUUUAGUGUGUUUGACUUCAUUUGGGAAGAGAUCAUAUUUUGUUUCAGUGUCACCCAAGAAGAGCUGCCACUAUGCACCUUAUAUCUUUGCUAUGAUCAAAGAGGUGACCGGUGUGGAGAUCUUGAUUGACAAAGGCCAUCAAGUAUACAAGCCAAAAAAAGGUCACCUCCAGCAUCUUCUCAAACUUGGAGCUCAUGCACCUUGUCGCACCACUCAAGGACCAUCUCAAGCUCCAUCUAGUUCUUAUGGUCCAUCUAUUUCACAAGGUCCUUCAAGUUCUCGUGGUCCUCCUCCUCGUGCACCUAAGAAGAAAGGAAUUCUUUGUUUCAUAUCCCAAGGUCUCUUUGCUUGCUUCAAUGUGGGUCGCCACAAUGCAGAGGAGAUGUAUGCUCACAAGAAGUAUGUUGAUGACAGCUUCUAAAGAUUAAGGCUAGGCAGAAGGAGAUCAUGACCAAGAAUGAUAUACCGCAUUCUCCUCUUCGGGCUCCUAUGGACUUCCCUCCUCCUCCAACGUUCUAUAAUCCUUGGGAGGAAUAUGGCAGUUCAUCCAUGAUGUUUAGCGCCCACCAAAUCGAUGAUGAUGAAAUUGAAGAAGACUUGGACGGACGUGAGGAGAAGGAUGAAGAGGAAGAAGGGGAUGUGCCCGCAGCCAACACCCCUACGGAUGAAGAAGAGGAUGACGAUGAUGACGACGAUGAUGAGUAGUGGCUAUGGAAGGGCCUCUCCUUAUGGUGGAUGUUGGGCAUUAUCUAUCUAUCUAUCUAUCUAUCUAUCUAUCUAUCUAGUAGCUUUGAACCUUGAACUCUCGUGCUUGAGGACAUGUGAGACAUUUGUUUGUUGUUAUGUGUGGUGGUGUGCCAAGUGAGACUUUUAAAUUUGCAAGAUUUAUCUAUGCUAGUGUGGUUUUAGAACUUAAUGCUCUUGUGAUGAUCACGACUUGAUGAAAUGUCCAUUUCCACUUUGUUGUUGUGAUAUAUCUUGUCAUAUGCAUCAUGUUGAUAUUCAUCACACUUUGCACCCCACGAAUGCAAUGAUAUUGGGGGAGCUCUUUUAAUAUGUGCAAAUGGCAUUUGAGACUGUUUUUUAUUUCAUCCUAAAAAUGCACAUAUUAAGGGGGAGCUCAAUUAUAUGACUGAAUUCAAAACUGAUUUGAGAUAUUAUUUAUGAGCCUUAAUUGUGUUGUCAUAAAUAACCAAAAAGGGGAGAUUGAAAGUGCAUUUGGCCCCCUAAGUGGGUUUUGGUGCCGAUGACAUGCAUAAUUAAGGAGCUAAUGAGAUUAUCAAGUUUGGAACAGGUCAAAGUUUAAUAGAAUGAAAUAUUUGCGUGAAAAGACGUCAAUUUACUUGAUAGACGGUGUUGGAGCUUAAAAGAAGAUCUCUAUUUACUUUCUAUUUUGAAUUUGAGUAUAGGAAACACCAUACUAUUAAGAGGGAUGCAAAUAGAUAGCUUGAAGAUGUCAGAGUGCUUAUUUGAAAUACUAACCACCCAUGAGAGACACAAAUCACACACUUGCACACUUGAUUUCUCACUGACUCGGGGUGGGUUGGAAGUUCCAACCAUGGAUCGGAAGUUCCGACCCCUAUCAAAAGAUGCUCAAUAGUUCCGACACGGGGUCCUCGGCCGGCUGAUUUUAUUUGUGCUGAAAGUUCCGGCCCUGUGUCGGAAGUUCCGACAAUCACUUGACCAGCACACUAAUGGCUAUUUUUUGGGGCUUAGAUAUUUAUACCCCUUCAGCCCUCCUUUCGUGGGCUGCUGUUCUUCCCCGAGAAACACACCUCCACAAGCUUCCAAUACAUUUUCCCAAUCCCUCCAAGAGCUAAUCCUUAAGUUGAUUUGAGUUAGGGCUUGGGUGAGAGCAAGAUUGAAGUGUGAGGCUUGAGCAUUUGAGUUAGAAGGCAGCUAUGUUCAUCUCAAGAGCACUUGAAGCAUCUCCACUCUUUGAUUUGCAUUUGUUACUCUUGAAGCUUGCUUCUAGGUGGUUAGGCGUCGCCCGGUUGAGCGUCCUCUUGUGCGUGUGCGCUCCGAGAAGUUUGUAUUACCCAUCCUUUGUAGAUUUCAUAGUAAGCGACUCAAUCCUCCUUUGUGGUUGAUUAACGGAGGAAAAGGAUUAUGUAAGACCCUGCUCUUUAUGAGCUCCUCAACGGAGACGUAGCUUCCUUAGUGGGAGUGAACUUCGGGAAUAAAUCUCUUGUCUCUUGUACUUAUUGCAUAUUUCUAGUUCUUGUUAACCUAGACUUUGUUUUGUGCCGAUCUACAUUCUGUGUUGUUGUGCUUGCAAAGAUCACUUUUAGAGGCCUCCUAGCAUCAGUGGUGAACUUUUGAUUCAGCCAAGUUCUUCAAUUUUGAGUUUAAUUUUGAAUUUUGCAUGGAACUUCAUUUCGUCAGAAGUUCCGGUCCUAUGUUAGUUCUGGUCCAUUGGAACUUCCUACACAGCGUCGGAAGUUCCGACAGAUUUAAUUAUUGCCAAGAAUUUUGCAGGAAUUUUAAGUUACGCCUAUUCAACCCCCCCCCCCCCCCCCUCUAGGCAUCACUAAGAUCAUUUCACACACAUCACUUGGAGAAGAGAAGAGUAGGGGGACUCCAUCCUUUUAGUGCUACUUUGUAGAGUAGGUUAGGGCGUGUGUGGAGGGGAAGUUCAAGAGGAGAGCUAGAGUUGUCGACCUCCCUCUGCUUGUACCUCGGCGGAUACGAGCCACUUUUGAGUAAGUAUCCGGGUUCAUCUACGGUGGUGAGUACUUAUCUAAUUUAAGUUCUUGUUAUUAUUUGCUUGCGGGAUCAUUGUUCGUCCAAGAACAUUUGCUUCUAGCCUAAGGACUUCGGUCUUAAGACAGAACCUGGCCAGGGUUAGAAGUAGUGAUCGAUAGCGUAGACGUGGUGUCUAGGCUUGAAGUCGCAUUUGUUUGCUACCCUUUCCCACGGUCUGUCGGGGUAGGCGAUAGGUGGUGAUAGCCUUGUUCGUCCUUCGUAGUCCCCCACGUUCGGAUUGAGCGUAGAGCUAAUAGCUGGAUACGCUUGGUAGACCAGGUGUAAGCCGGUGCCCGAAGCAAGCGGGUAGUACCUAAACUUAUCUUUAUUAAGUAUCUCUAUCAUUAUUCAACCACACUACCAGGACCACUCUAUCUCUUCCUUUUCCUGGGUAAACUAGCUAGAGACCGUUACACCUCCGUUUCCUGAGAAUUAUACAAUACCCUGAAUACUCUCCGGGUUAAGUGCUACAGCAGUAUAUCCGUGCGCUUACGGAUUCUAUCUUUGAACGUUAAGAAAUACCAACACUCGGGAGGGAGGUGGGGGGCUGAAACAGCAAGCUGUUGGGGACAUUAAAUGUGCCGCACUGAUGUGAUACGCACCCCCCCCCCCCCCGACAGACAGGCGGGAUAGGGGAGCUGUCUACAGACCGCGGGUCCGGCGGACACACCUCUGGCAGCCGGGCUAUCAUAGCACCACAAACCUGUGGCCACGCCACCUGCGCUCCCUCGUUAGAACAAUGGUAUGGGCCGUACCCCAUACCCCACAGCUAUCAAGCGUAGGUUAAGGCAGGCACGCCAAGCUAGCGGGCCCCAUUACGAACCCACUGUACUAGGGGAAGGGCGGCGCGACCUCCCAACCCCUGCUACGGGAGACACUGCGACACGCGCAAUGAAAAAGCCCAUCCUGGCGGACCGGGCUGGCCAAAUCGCAAACAGGAUCAUGCCAUGCUUUGUCGAAGGGAUGGCAGACACGACCGAGGCUACAACAGGCUGCGCCGGUGGACAAGACAGACAAGAUUUGGCUUCGGGACAAUAUGGAGCGCGAUCCACGGGAGACCUAGGUUAGGGCACAUGUAGAACUCCUGACCUAAUUCACUAGGGUGAUGACCCCGGGGAAGAGGGCCCACUUUCUCUCACAUUUGUAGCCCGGUCCACUAAGGUGUAUGAGGUGGAGCCGGGCCUUCUCUAAAAAAACUUGAAUUCUGACACACACAAACGCACCCGCUUACAAUCGCCCUGUUGUAAGCAUCCAGCACUUGGAUACGAAGAACACGAAGAACAUCACCCACACUGGACGUAGGACGAUCGCCCGAACCAGUCUAAACCUUUGUCUCUGAGUGUUAGCCAUCGAGCAGUGGAGAAAUGCGGCGCUAAUUUACUAGCCGGUGAACGAAACACCAACACAUUACCUUUGACUUGCUCUGCAUUUUCUUUUUCUACCUUUAGAUUCUGCAUUCAUUCUAUUAGUGUGUCUUCUUCACUUUUCGUUUGUAUAUUCUUUAACUGCUGAUCUUCAAUAAUAUGGUUCUGAAUUAGGCAAUAAUAUGGACAAGAAUGAGGCAAUAAUACAUGAUUCUUUUGUAUAUAAGAGGUAAGCAGUUUUAGCAAAACUCAUAAGCAUUUCAAUUGGAUUAAUUAUGUUUUUUCACUUUUCCGUCUGGUAUAGAGUUUAUAUCUGCACAGACAUGUGAAUUCAAAAUAUAGAUAAAUGGAUCUUGUUUUGUUGGAAAAAAGAUUGUAAAUCAGGACACACCAUUUAGGAAAUAUAAGCAUUUCAAUAUUGUCAAAUUAUGCCUCUAUAUUCUUUGGUAGAAAUUUUUUGGGUUCGGUGAUCUGGCAUUUUUCUACUGAUUUCAUUUAGGAAAUAUAAGCAUUUCAAUAUUGUCAAAUUAUGCCUCUAUAUUCUUGGGUAGAAUUUCUUUUUGGGUUCGGUGAUCUGGCAUUUUUUUCUACUGUUUAGUUCCUGCGUAAUGCUUGGUGUUAUAAUAGGCUCACACAAACUAAUGAUGCAACCGAUCGAUGGUUUUUUUACUUGAAUAUAAGAUUUGUUUUGUGUUAGUGUUAGAGAGGUAAGCAGUUUUGGCAAAACUCAUAAACAUUUUAAUUGGGUUACAUAUAUGUUUUUUUUAGUUUGAUAUAGGCAUAUUAUGUCUGCAUGGAAAUAUGACUUUAAAAUAUAGACAAAUGGAUCUCGUUUUGUUAGUGAAAUGUAAGGGUUGUAGUUGUGCAAAUGAAUCAUAAGUCAUAUAGACAACUUAGGAAUUAUAAGCAUUUUAAUAUUAUCAAAUUAUACUUUUUAAGUUCCGAUUAUCAACUUUUUGUUCUGAUGAUCUACCAUUUUCUUCUACUGAUUUACUUCCUACUUGGUGCUUGGUGUUAGAGUAGGCUCACGCAAGCCGAUGAUGUAGCCAAUCCAUGCCUUCUGGUCUUUGAAGAUAUUUUUGUCCAUGUUUUAAUUUGCUCAUUAUUUUUUAAAAACUUUGCUUAAGAGGUUCCAAAAAUUAUCAAUUGUAACUUGUUGAGUUAGAUUACUAGCAUAUAAAAUGCUAGGAAUUAGGUUAUGUGGUUUUAGUUAUUUUUGCCUGCUCAUUUGUUUUAAGGUGCUCCGGAGUUCAUUAUAAUAUGCCUACAACUCCUAGCAAGAAUGCUUUUUGUUGUACGAGUAAAGUAUCAUCAAAACAGUUAGAUAGAUGGGUUAUGACGGGGGGCUAAACAUUUCGCCACUCUUGCCGGCCGGACCUAACAUGUACCGUGCUGCGCGGUUGUGUUUUUUUCUUUCUUCUGUUUUGGUUUUCAAGCUUAGCCUAAUGAGUUUAUAUAGUUCUUCCUUUUGGGAUGUCCUUCUUUUUAAUAUAAUUGGCAGCUUUACUGCCAGUUCGUUUAAAAAAAAUACACCACUUUAACUGUUCUCUAGCCUCUAGCCUCUAGCCUCUAGCCUGAUACAACUAUUUUCCUCAAACAUCUGCAAUACAAGCUUUCUCAUUGGUUUAUUUUUUCUCACUAUAUUUUGCAGGACAUGAAUGCAAAUACUACAGUUUGUAAUGGGAAGAAAAAUAUGAUGUGUUUAUUCAUCUUGGGAGUAUUUGUUCUGCAUGUGCAGUUUCUAAGUGCAUGGGCAAAUUGCUGCGUGCAAUCCAAAUAGUUAGGAGAGGGAUAACCAAAAAAUUGCUAGUCUCAGAUCUUGCUGUCCUUGUGCUGACUGCUGACGUCAGGACAACCAAACUCCUUGGUCCCUAAUCUUGCAGCUCUGGGUCAUGUGUUGUAUGAUGAAUCUUAUGCAAUUUCUAAACAAAAUUGCAUAUUAUGCCGAUACUGUUUUUCUGAUUUCGUGAUAGAGUUAUGCUUUCUAUCAGAAAAAUUGCGUGCAAAAAGGAUACCAUAGUAAUAUUCUCUUGUUUGUUUUCUAACAGUAUAACAGGGAAUAUUAGGUGCAAACCAUAUUCUCGGUGGAAACGUGAAAACCUCUUAAAAAUUAUAGUUGCAAGUAUCCAAAAUAUUUCAAAGAUGCGCAUCCAUAGUCUAUCAUUAGAUGUAUUUUGUAUCAAAAGUUGGGAUGCAAACUCAACCUAGAAAACUUUAAACAAAAAUGACAAACUCAAAGUGCAUGAGGCACUAGAAAAUAAAAUUCCUAGAAAUUUGUCUUGUAGUGCACUUGCAUAUAGAAUUUGUUAUUUUCAUUUGCAUUUUUACAAAAAUAAUUUUGCAUCACAAGUUUUGAUACAAAGUACAUCUAAUAAUGCACUAUGGAUGUGCAUGCUCGAAGUUUUUUGGGGUUUUCACGUUUCCACCUAAAAGAUGGUUUGCACCUAAUAAUUUCCCGUACAGCUAUACGGGUGCUUCUGGGCACUGCGUUCUACCCAUGACCAUGACAAUUCUUUACGCCCGCAAAAAAAAUAGUACUUUCCAGAAUAGGAAAGUGGACAGUAGCAGAUAUAUGUGAUUGUCAAAAAAGAGCUGGUCGUGCGGCUAGCCUAAUUUGCGUUCGGCCCUGCAUUAACCAUGUCCUUAUUAAUUUGGGCAGUAAAAAUAGGGGAUCAGAUAGGAUCUCAUCUGUUUGGAAGGCUUUCCGUGAUAGAAAGCGAUGAGAUGACAGUUCCGAGAGGAGGUGCAGCCGAUGAGGUGAGGGCGCAGGUCAUCGACGUUGAUCUGGUUGGCGCGGAAGGGUCGAAGCACCGGAGCAAUACGCGAGGCAGGCGACCUUGCCGAAGGUGAUGCGCUGGGCCUUGACCUUGUCGAGGGGCUCGCAGUAGUCGAGUAUGGUCUCGUCGAACCAACGCCAGGGACCCUUCUAGCGGCGGCCGCGAUCGAUGGCGAGCGCGUUGAGGACGACGGCGAGGGAGGCGAGGACGCAGCAGGCAGGUUCCGACUGGCGACUGCAUCUGGAAGCAGGAGGCGAGGCUGAAGAAGCCUUCCAUGGUGCCGCCCUCGAGGGCCUCCGCGAAAAGGCGCUUGCCGUCCGGCGAGGCGAAGUCCACCGCUGGCGGCGACGGGAGGACCCGACACCGCCGCCAUUCCAGUCCCCUAGAAGCUCGCGACAUCACUUAUCAGUUAUCAGGGGCUCUUCACAAAUACUUGGAUCGUGACUAUGGGCUAUCUGUAAAUAUACAUUACAAAAUUUGCAAAUGGACUCCUCAUUUAGAUAUAAUUGCGAACCAAACUAAGGGGCUUUAUGAAAAUACUCAAUUAGGAAUUUGCAUAAAUACCUCUAAUUUGUAUAGCAAUAUAAUCCAGUAUUUACAGAAAAUCCCUAGUUUGGAUUGCUAUUAUUAAUCGCGAUCCAACCAGGGGGUAUUUGUAAAUAUUCCGGGGCAGCAGGCUCGUCGCCGGCGACCUCCGCUUGCCUAAUCGCCAUCCAUCCCGGCGGUUCCCCGUCAAGAUUACAGCCUAGAAAGUGCCGUCUCCUCGCCAACGCACACGCCGCGGACGGAGGCGCCACCGCGGGAGAGGGCGCCGGAGCCCUCGGGGCGCGACCACGGAGGGAAUCGCGGCGAGAAGUUCGCGUUCUUGGACGACGGCAACGCGGAGUCGUCAGAGGGGCCGCUGCCGCUGCAACCGAGGAACGUGAAGAGGCUGGUGGUCCCGCCAACGUACCAGCCGUCGACGUCCGCGGCGGCGCCUAGCGCUGCGAGGAAGAAGGAGAAGAGGAGCAGAAGGGUGGACUUGGGGUCGCGAGCGGCGCCAUGGCCAAUGGUUGCCUCGCUUUCCGGACCUGAAUGGACCGCAAAGUACGCAAGAGCAUAGCGAGUGAAUUUUGUGCUGAUGCACUGAUGGCUGGUGUUGCUCUGCAUCUGCUGACUGCUGCAAUAGUGCAAUGUCAGAGGACAGUACGAGGCCUUCCGUUGUCGUGCACUGAUCUGUAGCAACCUCUAUCCAGCAUUAUUAAGUUCACAGAUUAAGGCAAUAAAAAUAAAAUGGAUUUCUUCAUAAUCCAUUUUCUUACCUGUAAGAUGCUGCCGAGAACUAGUUCUUCAGGAUCAUUGCUUUGGUUUUGCCUGUCCAAUUAUUUCUACCAGGCUGUGUCACUCCCAAUAAGAUACACUUUUGCACCUGAAAGUAUGUGUACAUAACGUUUUGUUGUUACUCCAUUAGUCAGAUGGUCCUCGGUUGCUUGUUAGGUUUCCAUUUGUGCAGAAACUGCUCUUUUUAAAAAAAAGAAAAAAAACGACCCCGUCCAGAAGAAGGUAAAGGCUGCAGUGAUCUUUGCAUCUAUUUCAGCAGUGAGGUAAUCACUACCCAGAACAGUUUGGAUACUGAAUGCCAUAUCUACCGCAUCAUAAGAAAGAAAGAAAACGCAUUAGUGGCAUUCAGGCAUCAUCUGCUUUGCCAACAGGAAUGGGCACUGCUCUGUAUAUUCAGUUCUCGAUAAAGAUGGAUCAGCUCACAGUAUCCACGUUCUAAAUGACAAAAGUCAAAGCUAUAGUUACCGUGUAGAACUCGACUGAUCAGGAGACGCCAUAAACAUCACCAAAAGCGCAAUUCAGGUGACACCGCAACAUGUAUAACGUUUAUGCAAUACUGUUACAAAAUUGUAGCUUGCAUUCAGGAACUGAUUAUAAAAAAAUUCAUACCAUUAACUGUCUCUGCAUGUUUCGUUCAGAUCACUGUUCAAAAUGAUACUAAGUAGUAGCAGUUGCGUAACAUCAGUACAAAUUCAACCAGGCCGUUACAUAUUUAACACAUCAGUUCAUGACGCUGAGUAAGGUUACUCCAUGCCUAGGUAGCAAAAUAAUUAGCAGUCCAGACAAAGCCUGGUAAGGUUACAUGAUCAGUUCCUAGUCACCAGCAAGGUUGCUACUUCCAACUGAAGCAGAUCUUGGCCAAAUAAGUACGAGAUAACUUAAUGGGAACCUGUGCAAACAAAAACGAAAAUAUUAAGUGAUUGGAUCAUUGGAGCACAAAAGGGAUUCUACACAUAGGUAAGUGUGCAUUUGCAUCAAAAUGUGGUGAGCACAAAUUGACAGAGCUAUAAGCAACUAGGAGGAAUAAUGAGGUAAAAUAUUAAUAAAUCCAAGCGAGCUUCCAAAAAUUCUUUAGGUACAUCAGCAAGUUUCUGUCCCUUCUGUUGGUAAUAAAUAAAUUUUGACUAGAAAACAUAACUCCUGUCCUGGCGUACCUUCCACUCAUGCAUUUCUGAACACCUUCAGCAGUGGCAAUGCAGCACUACAAAACAUCCUUUUGGGGUGAUGGUUACUAAAUCGAUGAGUCCUUCCCAGCAGACCAAGGUUGGGAUUCAGAAUCCGUGAAGAUCCAAGGCCCAGUGAUUUACCCCAAGAUUUUUCAAGCCUUCCGAGAGUGCGUAAAUCAUCUAAUUGACCACCUUACAAGGUGAUCUGGCUCUCAGAACUGAUCUCCGAUAUGGGAAAAAACUUCUCCGUGUGUAUUCGAGUUCCCAUCCUCUAGGUGUCCUGUUUCUCACAACCUGUAUCAAAGUUCACAAAAAAUCCAAAUGUCAGAAAUCACAAACCAAAACGUUCAGAAUUAGCAGCCAGGAAGCUAAAGCUUGGUAUAUUAGAGUGGGAUAUCAUGGUAUAAUUUAAGCAACUCAUAAUAUUCUUCUAGAGUAGGAUAUCAUGUAACUAAAGUCCACUGCUCUCUCAAUCCCCUUUUCCAAGGACUGCUUUGGCUACCACAAAGAUUAAGAAAGUUCUGAAUUUGAGAAUUCACAAAAUAAAGAGUUCAAGUGCUCUAAAUAGAUAGGCUGGUCUGUGUGAGUGUACAUGCACAAUUGCAUAAGAUAAUAUAUAUAAAUUAGUUGCAACUUGCAACUGUUAGUAAUUUUGGUAGGCUAGAAUGCUAGAUAUUAUGUAUCACGGACUUACCAUAUGUAUUGGGGAGGCGUCUUGCCCCUAAGUCUCUGUACUCUAUUAAUACCCCCUGAGAGGCCAAUUGCAAAUAAUCUCACGCAAUAUGUCCUUCCCACAGCAACUACAAAGAACUAGCAUUAAAUCUAGAAGCACGCCUCUAAACAGAACCUUCCCUAAGAUAUAUGCUAUUUAAAAUCCCGAAUCAUUUGGCAGUGAAAGAGCCACAGGUUUAAUGUAGCUCUAGAUAUAAGACAGUUGGGCAUUUUGCCCAUUCUGCUUUCAUUUAUCGAGUUGUCAGUUCAACAAGGUUUGUUUCAUAGUCUAGAGGCUUAGCUUGGAGUCAGUCCCUUGGAAGCAAAAGAAAACCAAAUCUGUUAGACUAAACCAGGACAUAGACAAACAUUCAUUUUCAUUUUCCGAUCCAAAUUGGUCUAGAAAGUUUUUUUCUUUAAAAAAAAGACCCCUUGUCAGACUGACUACAUGACCAUCUGCAGUAAUUUGAAAUCUGAAAAUACAUAAAGCUUAUGAGUUUAAAUGACAGAAACAAAGAUCUGGUUGGGUUUCUUUGGUGAAAAAAAGAAACAUAUACUUUGAAACAAAACAAAAACACAAAUGCCUAAUAAAGUGGAACUGACUAUUAUUCACUAACAUGUGUGCAAAUACAUUAAGCUGCUCUCAACCACCUAUCAUCUAGAGACAAUCUUCAAACAUUAUGACCAUAGCAAGCAACACAUGCUUUGCUAUAAGCUCUAGAGAUUAGCUUAGUACACAAUUUCCUCUGUUCCACUACUAUUUCCUCACAAAAAGAGACUUAAUUCACCAGCAACCAAAAGGAUGGUAAAAUCGGUAAGAACACAAAAAUCAUGCAAGUUAUUAAACAGCAACAGUUUCAGUAACAAAGACCCGACCCUAGUUUUUGGAUUAUAUUUCGCUGUAGAUGAACUGGACACCACCAUUUAGCUAAUCAGUAACAAAGACCCGACCCUAGUUUUUUUCAUACAGGUAAAGACAAUUACCAAAAUUGCGGAAUUUUUGGAGAAUGUCAUGGAAGAUUCCAGUUCCCCAACAUUUACUUAUAAUGACAGAAAGCAACCAAAAAGAGGGGAUAUCAACUUUUCCAUGACUAAAACCAUUACCUUUUUUACUGAAUGUUGACAACUUGCUUCAACUGCAAACAUGUCCCCUGCUUUUCAUCACAGAACAAAUGGGGCUCAUUUUCUCAAAGUUUGAAAGAGUUAUUUCAAUGAGCACAAGCACUAACAUACCAUGGUUGUUAGGUAACUCCUUUUGGGACAAUACAUUCUUAUAGGGGCAGCUUCAAGAACAAGUAGAAUAAAGAAAUGAACAAGCAUAUUGAUGGUGUAGUUGUAUGUAAAAUUAUAAUCAUUGAAGCAAAGCAAAGGGGAGUAAAAGUAGUACAGCUUUCCAACCUCGAUGAUUUCUCCAGGACAAAAACCACUAUUUUUCAGAAUAGAUGAGACUCGUUCAUGUACCUCAUUAUGGGAUACAUGCAUGUUAUGGAGCAUCUGCAUGCCAUAUUUAACAUUUUGAGACAUGAGUGACAAUGUUUUUGUGAUGGGUCAGUGGGUGACGUGAUGGUUUUGAUGAUGAUGCAGUGAUGAGUCAAUUGAUAAGACUGUAACAAAACACUAUAACAUAUGCAAAAGAAUAACUUGCAAAAGUUUUCAGAUCAAGGAAAUCAUAUUGAACACAUGUACAUUAGUUUAACAAAACUUUUUAACUAUAUAGCAUGUCAUAACAAGCCCUAAAAAUAUACUGAGUGCCGAGGUUCUUGUGAAAUAAUGGGGGCGUAACUUAGGGGGUGUAAGUACCACAAAACAUAUAAAGUUAUAUUAUGUUAUAUAUUUGAAAUAGUCAAAGUUCUAACACGAACUGCCGAGGUUCUUGUGAAAUAAUGGGGGCGUAACUUAGGGGGUGUAAGUACCACAAAACAUAUAAAGUUAUAUUAUGCUAUAUAUUUGAAAUAGUCAAAGUUCUAACACAAACCUUAACAUCACUAGCAAUUGCCAAACACGGUUACAACAGUUCUAUAUAUCUUGACAUGUUCACUAGAAACUAAAUUUUUCCGUACUGAAGAUGAAGCAUUGAUGCCAGCUGUGUUUUAUAUUGAGUAAAAUGCUCUAAGUUCUUUUAACUUUAGACUACUUAAGUAAUUGGUGACAACUGCCCUGAAGGCUAAAUUCUCUGGAUUCUUAGUGAAACUAGUGGAGAUGGGUUUUAGCUUCCAAGCACUCAGAUCGAUUAAGCAGUUAAGUCUAAUCAUGAAGACAGACAUACAGUCUCCCUUUUGGUACAACUUAAGAUUCUGGUGGCAUUAGCAUUAACCUGAAGCUGAAAUUCCAUCAAGAGGGCCUAAAUAAACCAGUUUAUGCAAGUUAUAGCUAUUCCAUUCAAACCAUAAAUAAAAAAGUUUAUGGAAGUUAUAGCUAUCCCAUUCAAACCAGUUUUAUGGUAUCUUCCAAACUAAUCUAAAAUCAAUGCCUAAACCUAUAAGAGUGUAGAGAUGUUUCGUUCUUUUUUUCACGAAUACGCACGAGAGCUGUGCUUCUUUAUAUUAAGAAGAAGAAAAUGGUCCAAUUACAAACCGUUCGACGUUCCUGGUAAGUUUUUCAGUAGAUAUUUUGUUCUUUAUCCCCAGAUUUAAGAAGUUCCAGCAUUUAAUCAGGUUAAUGAAGGAACAACAAAUAGAAGGUGGAACACGUUCUUAAGCUCAGGGAAGGAUAUGUCUGAGGCUUUGAGUCAUGUUUUCCUAAAAAGUCUGUGCUUGCUAUAUUACUGCAAAGUACACACUUAGCAAAAAGACUAGAAUUGUAACUACAGCUGUAAACAAUUCAAUACCUCAGGAUGUGACUGAAUAUAUGUAUCAAGGACUCAACCGGCUUUGAGAACUGCACGAACAAGAAGUAAUGCAGCAGAAGUAAGCCUUUUCUUAAUCUCCAGCUCCUUAUUUUUCUUUCUGUUUUGACCUAUCUGCACCACCAAGCUAAUUUUGUGGGUUAGAAUACGAUUUAUGAUUAUAGAAAACCCAUCUGGCCUGCCGUUGCCAUUUUUCUUGCGGGAUGACUUAAUAGAAAAACCAUCUGGCUUGCUGUUGCCCUUUUUCUUGCAGGGUGCCCCCCCCCCCCCCCCCCCCCGGGGCCCCCGCGAGCUGCCAAGAGCAAAACUGCAGUCUGAACAAGUUUUCCAUCCUUUUUGUAGUUCCAGAGCUCAUCAACAAGAUUAUCAGUAUUCUCCGCAAGCAGUCUAGUCGUAUCCAAGAAGAUUUUCUGGAAAGACAACCAAAGGAACAAAAUACCAGUGUUUCUAGAAUUCAUAUACCAGCACAUAGUGCUGAUUAACUUCAAACAAUAUUGCCGCAUCUGAGUAAAACAAAAUCAAAUAUUAAAAUUUGCGACGUCUGCUGGAAUUUGCUAACUCCUCAGCUAAUAAAAAAUGUGUCUCGACACUUGGACACAUACAAAAAAUGACACGUGUGUAUUCAAUAAGUGGAUAUGUAAGAAUGUUCAAUACUUAGGCUGAGGCAUUAGUGGUUUGAGACAAGAGCUCAAUAACUUUUAGAGUUAAUUGCAUAAUGCUCCUUACAAAGGCACCAUGGUUUCAGAAAACCCCAUACAAAGCAUGCUAUGUCACUUCAUCCACAUAUAAACAACUAAAUUCUUCAAUUUGCCCCAUCCCUAGAUCUAAUCCCCCAAAGUUCUUAUACCCACUUUAUUGGAUCGUGAGAAUGCUAAACAAACACAAAUUCCAGGUCUUAUUAGUCAGCUGCACACAAGUAACAACUGGCAUGCCAUUAUUACAUGACCAUGAAAACAUUUAAAAUUGUGCACUAGUCCAAAAUGAUGGCAUCUAGUACCCCAGUUGCCCACUAAACAACUAAAAUUGUCUCACAGGACCUAAGUAAGGAAAGGGAAACUUGAUGCCAUGUCCAUCCACCAUUGCCAACACUAUAAAAUGGAGUAAGAGGGCAUAAGGAGGCGGAGGGAGUGUUAGAGAUAAAGGUGUAAGGUGGGGCAAGUGAAACAAUUUUGCAUGUAUAUGCAGGGUCAAAUGCCACAGCAUGCUUUACACGGCUUUUUUUUAUAUAAUAGGAUCUUCAAAUAGGAUGAAAUGCAAUUCACAGUAUUGUGUUAUGAUGCCAAAGUAGCAAUUUGGGUAAGGACGGAUGUGACGCACCAUCUCAGGUAGGCAUAGAAUAUGGAUGAGCUUGCAGAUACAGUUUAGAUUUGCCUGACUGCCUUCCAGAUCCUCCUGAUUCGGAAAUGCAUUUUCCUCCAGAUACUUAUGCAUGCAAGUGUUCUCAACUGCAACAUGGAGUGGGAGUAGGUCCUCAAUGACUCGAAUUCCUGCAGUGCGUAGAUUUGCCAAUGCACCAUAGCUGAAGAGAAACUUGACCAUAUCAACAGAAAACAUUUCAGCAGCUUGGUGGAGGGGGAAAUAUCCAUAGCUGUUCAUGCAGUUGGGGUUGGCACGGCACCCAGAAAGCUCAGGUGCCUUGCCAUCCAAGGGAACUUUAGCACAUCGCAAAGCAUUUUGCUUGACCAUCUGGGUGAAGGUUAGUAGGGUAAUGAUAAAACCCCAUUUCAUGCAGCCCCCCACUUGACAGAAUAAGCGAAGAAAGCGCCGCACGCCAUCUUUUUCCAGUAUGGGAAACAAGCGGGGAAGUUUAUGAUAGAAGGCAUCAUCCACUUCCUGGAUUGACAAAUUCACAAUUGAAAAGGGUAGAAGACAGUCAAUUAUCUAUUACAAGAUAUAACAAAAUAAACAAAGUCUUCCUCUAACCAUCACAUGGCUACAAAGCAGAAAAGCCGAAAUACCCGAAAGAUAAAUACUUCGAAUUCUAUAAAUGAAGAUAGAAAGGAGUACGGUCUGGAAUGAUUAUGUUGGCUCUUCUUGAGGUAGCAAUAAUUUCCUUUAUUUCAUCAUAAUACUAAGAGAGAAAAUGUGCCAACAGCCACGGCUAAGGAAAGAAACACAAAAAAGAGGAAUACCAUAGGUGUUGUUAGUUAAUCUACCUCAUCGAUCAACUGAGCAUUAGGCCUGCUAAUGGGGCUAAACCCACCCCACCCUAAUACUUAUGAAAAUCAAAUGGCAACCCACCCCGCCUCUAAAGCUCAACUAAAUAACCCACCCCGCCUGUCGGUACAUACAGAUAGGGGUAUCUCCUGCUAGGGUGUCCAGGCCCUUGGCUUCUCAUAAUCCAUGCUCCCCCUCGUCUCUGGGACACGUGGCAUACGACCUCCGGGCCUGACAGCUGGGGCCGCGGUCUCCGGACCCUCCCCCGAGCUCUGUGAGGUCCGGGUCUACUGCACACCUAGACGGACGGGAGAGCCCUCGGGUAGCCCCUACGGACCCGGUCUCCCCUGGGAGGUCCGGGGCCGCCACGUGUGAUGGCCGAACCAUCACAGGCCAGCCCGCUCCGACCGGCCUCGGGGGCCCCGGACCCCCCUUCCCCCGGGAAGCGGUCCGGUGCCACCAUGUGCUGCCCAGCGGGAGGAGUGGGGCUGGCCCCGCCGCGUGCCUGCGGCCCCUUGCGGGUCGCCUCUCACCUACCAGCAUUUAAUGCGGUAGCUGGGUCAGGCGCGCCAAAGUCAAAAGGUGCGGCCUGCCUCUGACACACGGGGCAGGUAAGCUGACACCACGGUAAGCCCGCCUGAUCUGAAGGCGGCGCGUCGUAUCACCGCUCACAGUGCGCGGACUGUGUACAGUCCCGUCACGGUGCUGUGCGCGUGAUGAUGGCCUGUAAUAGGCGAGCCAAGGCGUGCGCUGUAACAGUGCACGCGCGACGGGUCAGCGCUGCUUCACCGCCUGACGGGAGGUCCCAUCCCAACAGUGACAGCACGGCUUCACUGUUGUGCAGCGCUGACGCCGGACACUGUGCAAGACAAAGCUGUACAUGGCCAUAUCCUGGCUGUAGAUACGCACAUCAACUUCUCGAUUGAGAGGACUACGGAGAGGAACUGGAGAUGAAGAUCUCUAUAUCUCUCAUAGAACAGCUCCUGCAGGCCGGACCCACAUGUCGGGGUCCCGCACAGUGUAAGCACUCCCCUUGAACUAUAAAAGGGAGAGUGUACUCGUUAGAAGAUAGGUCCCAAGUUCCAGGUUGCACACACGCAAGCUUAUGCUGCUCUCUAUUCAGGCCCACGCAGCCAAUACAACACCAAAGUGGACGUAGGGUAUUACGCUCCGGCGGCCCGAACCACUCUAAAUCUUCGUGUCCUUCCUGCGUUCAUCUGUCCACCGAUCGAGCGCCCCUAAGUCUCCUCCAAACCCAUCCUUAACUAGGAUUAGGCGGGUGCUUUCCGCCACCCGGCUGGAGAUUUCCUCCGACAUUUGGCGCGCCAGGUAGGGGGUUUAGGUUUGGUUUGCGCUCGGUCGACCUUCACGACCCCAAUGGCGCAGGAAAACGGUCACCAUGACCUCCUGAUCGGUGAAGAAGUGGCGUCGACGGCGCCACACGUCUUGCGCCAUCCCGUUUCCAGGGUGGCUCCGCGUGCUGCUCCACCAUUCGCAGCGGAGCGGGCCUCAGUGGCCCAAUCGGUGCUCCCACCGAGCGGGCCCCUCAUGGCAGCCAGGGAGUUGCUCCACAACCCCCCUGGCGAGGCGGCGUCGCCAGACGCGCACAGACAAUGGCGUGACGACGUCGACCGCCUCCUCAACCUGGCACAGGCUUCCCCAGGCUCAGCGGGGGGUCUGUAUCCAGGCAGCGCCGUCGCCAGGGCGGCGCCUCCGGUUCUGUGCACUCACCAUCAGUGAGGAGUGCGCGGACUGAGGAACUCCGGGCAGAGCUCAACCGCAGGCAUGCGGGAGAGGAUGCUAGGAUCUCCAUCGAGCGAGCACGCAACCGACGGCUCAACAUUGAGGGUCGGGACCUUGCGCCUGAGCUCGAUGCGGCUGCGGCCAGGCCGCAAGGACUCGCCAGGGCGCCGGUAUCGGGCGUGGGCUGCGCAGCGCUCGCAGACCACCUUCGUGCGGUCGCCUGGCCGUCCAAGUUCCAGCCUCACCUGCCGGAAAAAUAUGACGGGUCCUCCAACCCGUCAGAGUUCCUGCAGGUCUACAUCACCGCCAUCACGGCGGCUGGGGGUAAUGAAGCCGUCAUGGCAAGUUACUUUCAUGUAGCCUUGACCGGGCCGGCCCGGACCUGGCUCAUGAACCUUACCCCGGGAUCCAUCCAGUCCUGGGGUGAACUCUGCGCACAGUUCACGGCGAACUUCGCCAGUGCGUACCAGCAGCAUGGCGUGGAAGCCCACCUCCACACCGUGAGGCAACAACCCGGGGAAACCCUCCGGGCCUUCAUCUCCCGCUUCACUAAGGUACGUGGAACCAUCCCACGUAUCUCCGAUGCAUCUAUUAUCACGGCUUUCCGACAGGGGGUCCGAGACGAGAAGAUGCUAGAGAAGCUGGCGACCCACCAGGUGGAAGCCGUCACCACCCUGUUCGCUCUGGCGGACAAAUGCGCCCGAGCUGCAGAAGGCCGUGCAUGGCACUCUGCAACUCAGGCAGGACCUGCUCAAACGAGCGGGCCCAGUGUCGCUGCCCCUGGCAGCGGCAAGAAGAAGAACAAGAAGAGCCGUGGCUUUGACAAGUCACGGAUCGGGGGUCCGGCCGUUGCGGCUGCAACGACCGGGGGCCAAAACUCCCGUGGCAAGCGCCCACGACAGCAGCGCACCGACCCCGGGUCGUGCCCUGUUCAUCCUGGGGCUCGCCACAGCGCCGCUGAGUGCCGCGAGAUCCAGAAGCUCGCGGAACACCUCAGCAAGAGGCGUGACCAAGCUGCCAAGGAAGGCUCCUCCCCUCCGCGGCGGUCCGGCAAGGAGAAGGCCUCCGAUGCCGACGCUGCUGCAACUGAGAGGGAGUUGGGGUAUCAAACCCCCAAUAAAGACCUCAAGGGACUGUUCCAACAGUCCGACUCCGAGUCCGGCGGGGACGAGCGCCGCAAAAAGCUGUACGUUAUGUACGGUGGCAGUACGGAGCUCGUCUCCCGACGGGACGUCAAGGCCCUUCGCCGGGAGGUCCUCUCGGUGAAACCAGGGGUGCCGAGGGCGGCGCCCCACCAGCGGUGGAAGGGCACCACCAUCUCCUUUGGGCCAUCCGACUGCCCAGAGAACAUGGCGGGUGCAGGAGUGCUGCCGCUCAUCACGGCACCCACCAUUGCCAAUAUUCGCCUUCACCAUGUGCUGAUCGACGGAGGCGCCGGCCUCAGCGUCAUCAGCUAUGCGGCGUUCAAGCACCUGCAGAUCCCGGAGUCCAAGCUGGCUCCAUCACGCCCAUUCUCAGGAGUGGGCCCGGAUCCCGUGUACCCGGUAGGGACCAUCACCUUACCGGUUACAUUCGGACGGAGGACAACUUCCGUACCGAGAACGUGCAGUUCGAGGUCGCGGAAGUUAACCUCCCCUUCAACGCCAUCAUCGGCAGACCGGCCCUGUACCGGUUCAUGGCCGUAGCCCACUACGGGUACCUGGUCCUGAAGAUGCCCUCUCCGGCGGGCGUCCUCACCGUCCAGAGCGAUCGGGCCGCUGCUGUUAUAGCGGUCGAAAAGCUCCAUGCGCCGGCUACGGGGCUUGCCCCUGUAGCUGGCGCCCAGGGGUCCGACCCCUCGACCUCACGUGCCAAGGCCCUGGCCAAGGCACCAAAGGUCCGUCCGUCCGACACGAACGAUGUUCCCGUGAAGACCGUCCAGGUCGGAGCGGAGACCUCCCAGACCACCCGCAUCGGUGGCAACCUGGGGGAGAAAUAGGAAAGCGCGCUCAUCGCCUUCCUCCGGGCAAAUGUUGACGUGUUCGCCUGGGAACCGUCACAGAUGCCCGGGAUCCCUAGGGAGGUGAUUGAGCAUCAUCUGAAGAUCCACCCCGACGCCAGGCCGGUCCGGCAGAAGCCACGCAAGCAGUCCAUCGAGCGGCAAAACUUCAUCCGUGAAGAGGUCCGCAAGAUGCUGCAGGCUGGCUUCAUCGAGGAGGUCUACCAUCCUGUAUGGUUGGCCAACCCGGUUGUGGUCCCAAAGGCCAACGGGAAGCUUCGGAUGUGCAUCGACUACACCAAUCUAAACAAGGCAUGUCCAAAAGACCCUUAUCCACUUCCGCGUAUAGACCAGAUUGUAGACUCCACCUCCGGGUGUAAUUUGCUGUCCUUCAUAGAUGCCUAUUCUGGUUUCCACCAAAUCAAGAUGGCUUGUGAUGAUAGGAAGCAUACAGCUUUUGUAACAGUGGAUGGUCUUUAUUGUUAUAUAGUGAUGCCUUAUGGAUUACUUAAUGCUCUACCCACCUUUGCUCGUGCAAUGAACAUCACUCUAGGUGAUUUGGUUAGAGAAAUAGUCGAGGUGUAUGUUGAUGACAUCGUUGUCAAGACUAGAGAGUCGAAUUCCCUCCUAGAAAACUUAGCUCAAGUCUUCGACAAGUUACGGGCGACCUCCACCAAGCUUAACCCCGAGAAGUGCGUCUUCGGCGUAUCGGCGGGAAAGCUCCUUGGUUUCCUGGUCUCCCACCGGGGGAUCGAAGCCAACCCAGAUAAGGUCCGGGCGAUCGAAGCAAUGAGGCCCCCUGCGCGCCUCAAAGAUCUACAGAGGUUGACGGGGUCCCUUGCAGCCCUCAGCCGUUUCAUUUCGAGGCUGGCAGAGAGGGCGCUUCCCUUCUUCAAGUUGAUGAGGGGGUCCGGCCCAUUUGUAUGGACCGAAGAGGCAGAACGUGCCUUCCAAGAGAUGAAGCAGUACCUUACUUCCUUGCCGGCCCUGGUCGCACCGGACCCAGGCGAGACACUGUUUCUUUAUCUUGCAGCAACGACCGAAAUGAUCAGCAUGGUGCUGGUCACCGAGAGGUCCGAGUCUCCCUUGCAGGGGGCCCCUGUGGACCCCCCUGCAGGAGAAGGAGAUCCGGCCUCCUCCACUCCAUCGACCGACCCUACUUCGGGGGGUCCGGCCGGGUUCCGACCCGGAGAAGUGCCAAGCAGCUUGGGGCCCGACGGGACCCCAGCUCAAGAUGAAGGAUCCAGUCCACUUGGCAGGAUCAGGACCAUCCAGAAGCCGGUCUACUACGUCAGCGAGGUCCUUCAUGAGGCAAAGGCCAGGUACCCUGAGACGCAUAAGCUCCUUUACGCUAUACUUGUUGCGUCCAGGAAGCUUCGCCACUACUUUCAGGCACACAAGAUUGUGGUGGUGACCUCCUACCCAUUGAGGGCUAUCCUCCACAACUCUAACGCCACGGGCAACAUCGCCAAGUGGGCAGCAGAGCUCGCUGGCUUUCAGCUCGACUUCCAGCCGCGUCACGCCAUCAAGAGCCAGAUCCUUGCUGACUUCAUCGCGGAAUGGACGCCCGCACCAAGCGCCAUCGGGGGUCCGGACCAAGGGACGGACCCCCCACAUCCAGAGGUCAGGGCUCCGGCCUUCACCGGACCUCACUGGACCCUCUUCUUUGACGGGUCCGCCCGUAGCAAGAGGGCCGGUGCGGGCGUGGUCCUCAUCGACCCACGCGGCGAGCAGUUGAAGUACAUGGUGCACCUCGAUUUUGAGGCCACCAACAACAUGGCGGAGUAUGAGGCCUUGAUCUUUGGUCUCAUGGCGGCUCUGUCCCUGGGGUCCGGGAGCUCCUGGUCAAAGGGGACUCCCAGCUCAUCAUCAGGCAGGUCCGGGGGAGUGUUGCUGCAACAACCCCCAGCUCGCAGCCUACCUCAUUCAUGUGAAGAGGCUCGAGAAGGAUUUCGAUGUGCUGGAACUGCAACACGUUCCACGUGAAGGCAACACAGCAGCUGAUGCGCUCUCCGCGAGCGCAUCGACUCAGGCACCCGUGCCGGAGGGCGUCUUCCAAAGGCGUCUGCUGAAGCCUUCCGCCCAGCCUGCCGACCUGGGCGAUGGGGGUCGGACUAGCACCUCGAAGCUAGCGAUCCCGGCGGCGCUCCAUCCGUGCUGCCCGCCAAGGGUCGUGUGUUCCCUUGAGGGGCCCGAAGACCUCAGGGAGCCACGCCCAGUUUCUCAGGAAGGUCCCGACGCAUGGAUCUCUAAGGUCCGUGACUACCUGAAAGAUAAUUACCUUCCUGAAGAUCAGGCAUCUGCUGAGCGCAUUGUCCGGAUGGCUAAGCGAUACACGGUGGUAGAAGGGGAUCUCUACCGCCGUGGCGCCAACGGCGUCCUCAUGCGGUGCAUCACCCAGGAAGAGGCCGUGACCUGCUCGCGGAGAUCCAUGGAGGCGAGUGCGGAAGUCAUUCUUCAUCCCGCACGCUGGUUGGUAAAGCUUUCCGGCAUGGCUUUUACUGGCCGACAGCGCUCCAGGAUGCAGCUGAGUUGGUAAGGUCCUGCAAAGCGUGUCAGUUCCACACAAAGCAGAUACACACUCCAGCUCAGGCCCUGCAGAUGAUUCCUCCCUCCUGGCCCUUUGCGGUAUGGGGGUUGGAUAUCUUGGGACCUUUCCCUAGGGCCGUCGGCGGGUACCGGUACCUCUACGUCGCCGUUGACAAGUUCACCAAGUGGCCGGAGGCAACCCCAGUGGUCAACAUUACCAAGGCGUCAGCAACUGCUUUUCUCAGGUCAAUUGUGUGCCGGUUCGGGGUCCCGAACCGGGUCAUCACCGACAAUGGGACCCAGUUCACGAGCCAGUACUUCCAGGAGUACUGUGAGGAUAUGGGCAUCCAGCUCUGUUUCGCCUCAGUGGCGCAUCCCAGGAGCAAUGGCCAAGUUGAGCGGGCCAAUGCCGAAAUCCUCAGAGGGCUCAAGAUCCGGACCUACUGUGACCUUGAGAAGCAUGGCGCAAGGUGGAUUGAAGAGCUUCCAAGCGUGUUAUGGGGGAACCGGACCACACCUAGCCGGGCAACAGGGGAAACCCCUUUCUUCUUGGUUUACGGGGCCGAAGCAUGCCUUCCCCCGGAGAUCACCAUGGGCUCUCUACGAGUUCGGUCUUUUGAUGAGGAAAUGCAGGGACAGGAGCGUCGCUAAGAUGUGGACCUCGUCGACGAGCGCAGAUGGCGAGCAGCAGUCCGAAACGCACGGUAUAACCAAGCGCUCCGGCGCUACCACCAACGGUUCGUGCGUAGUAGGGAGCUCCGGGUCGGGGACCUAGUCCUGAGGCGGAUUCUGAACCGAGAGGGCAUGCACAAGCUCUCCCCCAGCUGGGAGGGGCCCUUCAAGGUGACAAAGGUGUGCCGACCCGGAUCUGUUCGUUUGGCUGCGGAGGAUGGAAUGCAACUGCCCAAUCCGUGGAACAUUGAGCACCUCCGUAAGUUCUAUCCCUAGGACCCCAUUGUGUGGGAAUUUUCCCUUUGUAAUUGGUAGCGUCAACGUGCGGACCAGGGCGGUGGAGGUCCGCCCUCGUAAACCCGGCCCCUGGCGUACAUCGCACAACUCUUCUGUACCAAUUCGUUAAGGGAAAAUUUGCUCUCAAAUGCGUCCUUGAAGUCUAUACAAUUCUACAUUUUUUCGCUUCUUGAUUACGCUAACCCCUCACAUGUUUUCCGCGUCUGUGUCAUGACCAAGGCCCUUCUUAAGUUGCGUAGCUACGUCCCUGCCCCGGGCCUCUGUUUCAAAGGAAAAAAGGAACCGGACCCCUGUUGACUGGUUUCAGGGAAACGCGCUCGCCCUUUGCUGGGGUCCAGGGUUGUGUAGCCGCUUAGCCUGGUUCCGUACCCUAAGCCUACACGCCUUGCCCUCCUAGGAUGAGCGCCGUUGCACCUCGAACCAUGUACCGGGGGCCGGGACCCCUUUUAGCCCUUAAACAUGGGUCCUAGAGCUCUGACUCGCUACGCGACUUAGGAGGCCUCUGCUGGCCAGUCCGGGAACCUGUGGGGACGUCUCCUAAACGUCGAUCCUAAGUUAUGUGCAGGACCUCGGUUCUAUGGCAGCUAGUCCCAACUUAUCGCGACUACCUCCCAGGGGGCCAGGGGACCUCGGUGUACUCGAGAACACUUUCCGGACCGACAACCAGGAAAACAGCUAAGUUUUUCAAAAAAGUAGACGCACGAAAUGUUUAAAUGCAUCACUGAUAAUAUGCACAACAUUACGAAGUUAUUUUACAAUAACAAAAAUUAUAUUACAAAAGAAAUAACAAAAAGAUACUAGCACUACUGCUUUGGUGGUCCGGAAGCGCUCCCACUCUCUGCAGGUUCGGGACGUCGCCGGAGGCGGGCCGCGACCAGGUCCACUGCCUCCUGGACUCCUUCCCGUGCAGCGGCUGCCGUUGCCCGGAGGGGUCCGACCAGGACGGGAGUCAGCUGGACGGCAGGAUCAUGGCUCCGGAAGCUGGUGAGGAUGUACUCCGCCAUCUCCCGGGCAACUAUUCGUCCCUCUGCCUCCAGGAGGUCCUGUAGGCCGGCCUCCGCGUUUUGUAGCCGCCUGGCGGUGGAGUCCAGCAGCUGGAGUGCGGCGCCGUAUGGUGAAGGGGCCUCCGGCACCCAGAUGGGGUUGGCCCCGAGCGCCUCUAGCAGAGGAUUCACUGCGCCAACCCAUCUUGUUAAUCGGUUGGCGCCGGCGUGCUGCUCUGCCAGGAGCUCCUCCACCUUGGCCUCCCUCUCCUGGAGCGUCGCCUCGCGCUCCUGGAGCCUCCGGUACCCGGCUGCCAGCUCCUCCUCCACGGCCUCUUCCCGCUUCUGGAGCUCCUGCAGCCGGGCCACCUCCUCUGCCUCUCGGGCGGCCAGCUCUUCUUCUUUCUUCGCUGCCGCCACCACCUGUUCUGCGAGGGUGGCAUGUUGCACCUCGGCCGUCGCAAACGCCUCCCUCGCCCCGUUCGCCAGCUCCCGGGCGGCCCGCUCCCUGGCCGUCGCUGCCUCCUUCAGCUUCUCCGCGACGAUCUGCGCCUCGAGGGCCUCCUUUUCCCGCCGGUUGGCCGCUUUCUCCCGCUAGAGCGCCGCUGCCUCUCGGUCGCGCGCUUCCUCCAGCCCCUCCCGCAGGAGCUCGCGCUCCAACUCGAGCUUGGCGCGCUCCUUGGCGUAGCGGGUGGAGACGGUGUUGAUGCGGUCCCCCAGGCGGACCUCCCAGUCGGAGAGCCGCUGGCGCUCCGUCUCCAGCUUCUCCCACUCCCGGCGCAUGCCAGCCUCUAGCUCCAGUUGAGCUUGCUGGCAUUUGGCUAUGAGCCGGGGGAGUGGGACCUCCGCUGUGCUCGGGAGGAGGUACCUUCCCAGUACCACCUCCGGUUCCUCCUCCUCCGCUGGUGGGGCGACGCUACUGGCGACUUCGGCGACCUCCGGAGCCGCUGCCUCUGCUGCCUCCGGGGCCGCCACCUCCGCUGCCUCCGGUACCGCCGUCGCCGCUGCCCCUGGCCCAGCAGCCUCCGCUGUAGCAGCGAUCCCCUCAGCUGCCGGAUCAGCUGGAGAAGGUCCGACCUCGGCGCCCGGCGCUAUUGCCGGUGCCUCAGCCGCUGCAGUGGGCCUGAUCGCCUCCUCCUGGGGGAUGGCUUCUGGACGUGGCGACGUGGUAACCUCCGGCUCCGGACCGCUGGGUCCGGGGGCUUCUGGAGCUGCUCCUGGCGGAGGCCCUGCUGGAGCCGACGCCGAGGACUCCGGCGCUGGCUGGGGGCCGGGUCCCCCAGUCGGAGCAUUUGAAGGUUGCGGCCUGCCGUACCACCUGUUUGGUUAAGCACUAGAAGCCGAGAAAGAAAAUGAAAAACCUUGAUAAAACCACUUACGGGAAGUCGUACCACUCCCAUCUGCCCCGGGCGGCCGGGGGGACCUUCCUCCCUGCCGAGGACCCCCCGGACCUUUGGGGGCCGUCCCCGGCCUUUGAGCCUCCUGGCGGCGGCGUUGGGGACGGCGGUCUGAUCUCGGACGGUGGCGGAGGCGUCGCUGGCCGCGACCCUGGUGGUGGUGGCGGAGGAGUCUGUCGUCCCGGCGGAGGCUGGUGCUGUGGUGGGGGUGGUGCAGCUCCGCUCUGCUCCUCCACCCCCGUGGUUUUCUGGCGCUUGGGCGCCGGCUCCCCCACCAAGGAGCCGUCACCUCGCUGGAGCCUCCGGGACUUGCUCCCUUCGGCUUGGCUGCGCCGCUCGGGUGCCGCCCCCUGAGCCUCGCCGCUCCUUUGGGCUGGGGCAGCACCCGUACUGUCUUUCUGCCGGUGCUCCGGCACCGGCGCUUUCUCAUUUCCCUUCCCGCCAGGGGCCGGACCUCUGGGUCCCGGCUCCCCGGCACCUUCGCUGGGGCGUUGCUGGCGGACCGGUGUGGCACCAGGGAUCUGGAGCCCGCGGUUGGGGUCGCCCCCCAGUUGCCGGACCGCCAGGCCGCCCUCGUCCAGGGUCGGCAUCGACGCCAGGACCGUUGAACGCAGAGCCUGGUCCUCGCACAGGGCCUUCACCCCGCUCGGGAGGACCAGGGACUCUGGGAUGAACGUCUCGCCGGUCAUCGCCCGGAUCGCCGCCUCCAGCUCCGCCCUGGUGAAGUCGCCGCCGGGCCCGCGUGCAAUCCUGCAGCAGUCGUUUAGCCCCGUGUACACGUAGGCCAUCCGGGUUCGAUGCUGCAGGGGGGCGAUCCGCCGCUUCAAGAAGUCGCCCAGCACCAUCAUGGAAGUCAGGCCGCUCCUUGCCAGCUUCUUGAUCCGGUUCAGGACCGGGUCGAGCUCCACCGGUAUUGACGGCCUGGCCUUCCAGGUGCUCCGGUCGCUCUGGGGGCCCCCUUCCGGCAGUUCUAGGCGGUCGUGGGGGUCGGUCACCGCAAUGACCCAGCCUUCGCGCCAGUCCUCCCACUUGGAGCUGGAGAAGGCGGCGAUGUAGGCGCCCGACAUCCCGUGCCGGAGUUGGAAGUAGUAAGUGCCAAUCUCGCCGCGCUUCUUCCCGGUCCCGACCAGGGCGUAGAAUUGUUUGAAGAUGGUGGUGCAGGGGCGCACCCCCACGAACAUCUCCAUAAAGUGGACGAAGACCGCCGCGAGGAGAACGGAGUGGGGGGUGAGAUGUUGAAGUUGGAGGCCGAACUCCUCCAGGAGCAGGAGGAAGAAGGGGGAGAUCGGAGGAACCAACCCGCACAUAAUGUACGAAUUGAAGAGGACGAACUCCCCCGCGGCAAGGUCGCGGAGGGGAACCUCGCCGGCCCUGACCUUCCCGGCGUUCGCCGGCGCGGUCCACCCCAGAAGGCGCCGCACCGCGUCCAACUGUUCUUGGCUCUGGAAGCGGCGCGGGAAAGGAAGCGAAGCCAUGUGGAUUAUUGGGGGGGAUUGCGAAGGAGUAGAGAAGAGAAAGGCGCCGGGCGCAAGGAAGCUGAUCGCGAGAAGGGACGCGGAGACGAAGGGGCGCUGCGGCGUUUGUUCUUGGCAGGAGCGAAAAGGUAGCCGUUCCCUUCGGCGCUUACCUUUUAUGCAAAAGGCUGCAUCCCCUUAGCAUCCCGCGGCGACCGAGGAGAAGUCAAGCGGUCGCCAGCGCCGCCUUCCCCUUCCCUCACACUCUAUGACCAGUGGGCUCGGGCCCACCAGUCAUAGGCGUGGGUGCUGGAGGAUCGUGGGAAGGGCAGAAUCCGAACCGCCCGAGCCGCGCGGCGGGCUCGAAUGAGACAAGAAUCUGAACCGUCUGACGCGCACGGUGCGCGCGGAAGACGGGCCCCUCGGGGAUCCCGCUACGGGCGAAAGGACAUCCGUGCCCUCGCCCGGCGGGAACGAGCUGUCCACCCGGCGCGAUGCUGGGAUUUGGCCCCACCUGCGGGUACGUCCCUCUCCCGAGGUGGGCCCAGGGGCCACUGUCGGUACAUACAGAUAGGGGUACCUCCUGCUAGGGUGUCCAGGCCAUUGGCUUCUCAUAAUCCAUGCUCCCCCUCGUCUCUGGGACACGUGGCAUACGACCUCCGGGCCUGACAGCUGGGGCCGCGGUCUCCGGACCCUCCCCCCGAGCUCUGUGAGGUCCGGGGUCUACUGCACACCUAGACGGACGGGAGAGCCCUCGGGUAGCCCCUGCGGACCCGGUCUCCCCUGGGAGGUCCGGGGCCGCCACGUGUGAUGGCCGAACCAUCACAGGCCAGCCCGCUCCGACCGGCCUCGGGGGCCCCGGACCCCCCUUCCCCCGGGAAGGGGUCCGGUGCCACCAUGUGCUGCCCAGCGGGAGGAGUGGGGCUGGCCCCGCCGCGUGCCUGCGGCCGGAGGCCCCUUGCGGGUCGCCUCUCACCUACCAGCAUUUAAUGCGGUAGCUGGGUCAGGCGCGCCAAAGUCAAAAGGUGCGGCCUGCCUCUGACACACGGGGCAGGUAAGCUGACACCACGGUAAGCCCGCCUGAUCUGAAGGCGGCGCGUCGUAUCACCGCGCACAGUGCGCGGACUGUGUACAGUCCCGUCACGGUGCUGUGCGCGUGAUGAUGGCCUGUAAUAGGCGAGCCAAGGCGUGCGCUGUAACAGUGCACGCGCGACGGGUCAGCGCUGCUUCACCGCCUGACGGGAGGUCCCAUCCCAACAGUGACAGCACGGCUUCACUGUUGUGCAGCGCUGACGCCGGACACUGUGCAAGACAAGGCUGUACAUGGCCAUAUCCUGGCUGUAGAUACGCACAUCAACUUUUCGAUUGAGAGGACUACGGAGAGGAACUGGAGAUGAAGAUCUCUAUAUCUCUCAUAGAACAGCUCCUGCAGGCCGGACCCACAUGUCGGGGUCCCGCACAGUGUAAGCACUCCCCUUGAACUAUAAAAGGGAGAAUGUACUCGUUAGAAGAUAGGUCCCAAGUUCCAGGUUGCACACACGCAAGCUUAUGCUGCUCUCUAUUCAGGCCCACGCAGCCAAUACAACACCAAAGUGGACGUAGGGUAUUACGCUCCGGCGGCCCGAACCACUCUAAAUCUUCGUGUCCUUCCUGCGUUCAUCUGUCCACCGAUCGAGCGCCCCUAAGUCUCCUCCAAACCCAUCUUUAACUAGGAUUAGGCGGGUGCUUUCCGCCACCCGGCUGGAGAUUUCCUCCGACACCGCCCUACUCCAUUUGAUGCCUAAACCCAUGGAUAUAGCUAUGCCUACCAAUUAAAUCCACCCCAACCCAUAUUUAACUAUAUAUAUAUUUAUAUUUAGUGGCUCCGCUUUUGAUGUGGGGCUACGUACAAGUCUAGCCACACUAAUGUGCAUAGAGUACAUCUCUAACAAAUUUUAGUCAAUUUCGAUAAAAUUUUAUAUUGUGAACGUGAGGUUUUAUUUCCAGGGUCUGGCUCUUUACAUCGGGUCCACGUGUAGAUCUAGCCACAGUGCUUUACAGAGAGUAGCUGCCAGUCAUACCGAGUCAUCUCCAACAAAUUUCGGUUAAUUUCGACAAAAUUUUAUGGUGUGAACGCAAGAGUUUAUUUCCAGGGUCCAGCUCUUGGCGUGGGGCCCACGUGUAGGUCUAGUCACACUGCUUUAUAUAGAGUAACCGCUAAUCAUACUAAGUCAAAAUUGAUUAAAAUACACUCAUUCCAACCCGCAUUUGCAUAGAACCCGCUCCACCUUGCCCCAGUACCUAAUACAACCUAUUUUAACGUAUCCAAACACACUCCACAGAACCCACCCCAUAAAAUCUAUUUCAACCCACCCUACUCGUGGGCCUAAGGGUGUGUUCGUUUCCUCCCCUCUAAAGUUUAGACCCGUCACAUCAAAGAGAAUCUUAUCAUUUAGAAGUAUUAAAUAAAAUUUGUUUAUAAAACUUUUUACACAGAUGGGUGCUAAUUCGCGAGAUAAAUUUAAUGAGCCUAAUUAAUCCAUAAUUUACCACAGUGAUACUACAGUAAUCAUUCGCUAAUCAUGGACUAAUAUACCUCGUUAGAUUCGUCUCGCGAAUUAGCCCUGGGGUUCUGCAAUUAGUUUUGUAAUUAGACUUUAUUUGAUAUUUCUAAAUGAUAAGAUUCUCUUUGAUGUGACCCCUCUAAAAUUUAGACCCUAAGAAACGAAUACAACCUGAGUUCAAGAUCAGAAGGAGCGGGACGGUACGAAGGAUAGGGAGGAUUCCAUGGGUCCCACUCAUCCAUGUGUGGUCCAUAAACUUCAGCUUCAUGAGAACGAAAAAUCAAUCCCUCCUUGUGUGCUGCCUCCAUUUCUGCAGCCCCGAUCUUCAGUAUCACCGUUUCUCUAGCUAGCUGAUACAAGUCUAUCCUGGAAAAUGUUCCAAAUCAAUUUGCCCUCUUUUUUGUACUAAGCAAUAUCUAGCUCGAAUGCUGGAUUUCUCUAAAGUACAUAAAAAAUUUACAAGAUAGUCAGACAAUAUACAUUUCUCUGCAACGCACAUGCUGGACUUGUACAUUUGAGCUUGCAGAGAACGCAGUAGCUGGGAGUCAAAAUAAGAUAGUAUCAUCAACAAGAAAAAAAAGAGAAAUUUAAAUUUUUACCACUACAAAUAUGGGGGCUUCACAAAAUUACCACCAUCAAGAUGGGUUUUGCAAAAUUCUCACUUACACCGUUGACAACUCGUUUUCCUUGUCAUUCUUCCUCUUGUAUUGAUUUUCAUUUUUUUUCUUUUUCCAGGCCGUGGAACGACCAAAAUGCACCGGCCUGCCCCUCUCACAUUAUCUGGUUGCACCGAAUCGGUCUGCAACUCUGAGUUGCCGCUAGGGCCGCCUACCCUGUACCAGCCAGCCGCCUGCCCGCCCGCGCGCCCGCUGGCCGCCGCUCGCGGAGUCGCGGCUCCUUGUGGCCUCCCCGUCCCACCCUUCGACAUCGCUACGACGCUACCCCUCGCGAUGAGCGCGCCGUCCUCGAGCAGCGCCGGCGUGAUCCCCUCUCGGCCCCUGCCACUACCUGCCCGUGACGGCGGCGGCGGCGUGUUCCUGCGCCCGCGGCCACCAGGCACCAGCGGCCGAGGAACGGGAUCGCGGCGCCGGUCGCGCGCCAGAGACGAGGAUGGCCCAGCCCCUACAGUUUGGAGGGAGAUUGGGAAAGAAGAGGAGGAGGGCGGAGGAGGGCGACGUUUGAACCUGGACGUCGGCGGAGGGCGGCGCCCUGGCGAUCGCGCGAGGCGUCUUGGCCUCCGGCCGGCGUGGCGAUCGCGGCGGCGAGCGCAACUCAGAGUCCCAAAACAGUAGUUACGUUUCACCGAUCCAAUGACCAAUUCCAACCAGAUGUAUACGUAAGGCAUGGGCUGUUUUUGCAAGGAAAAAAGAAUACAAAAGAGGAAGGGCUGUUUUUGCAAUGCCAUUUUUGACCAUCGAUCGGAGUUUGAUCCUGGCCAUAAAACUUGAAAACCGGAUAACUUUAGCCAUCGAACUAUAAAAACCGGAUAAGUUUGGCACUCUAUCCAGUUUCAAAGGUGGUCUUGGAUAUAUUUAUAUUUCUAAAUAAUAAUAAAAUAUGAUUUAACCCCUAAAAUUAUAACUAAUUUAUUUUAAAUCAAAAAAAUAUAAAAUUAGUAUAAAAAUUUCUCCUGCAUGAAUCCUUUUGGUCAAUAUCUAAUCUAUUAUUAUAUUAUAGAAUCAAACGAUAAUUUAAAUAAACAAUGUCACAAUUACAAAGCAAUAAAACACUAGCAAAAGGAACAAAUAAGAUUCAAAUAACUCUACAUAGAGCAUGGUCAGGUAGAUUAUACUUUUUGAGAAAUUUUGAUAUGUGUUUCAUAUUUUUCUAAUUUAAACCGAAUUAGUAUGAAUUUUUAGAGAUUAAAUUAGAUUCUAUUUGUUUUAGAAAAUACACAUAUAUGCAAACCACCUUUGAAACCGGGUAGAUGGUCCAAUUUAUCCGGUUUUCACGGUUAAUGGUCAAAGAUACCCGGUUUUCAAGGUCGAUGGCUAAAACCGAACUCUGAUGAUAGUUCGAUGGUUAGAAAUAGACUUUGUUUAAAGAGGAAUACUAGCAAGGAAAACAACGAUAUGAGUGGCAAUUUUUGCAAAGCCCAUCUGAGCAAUGGCAAUUUUACGAAUCCCAAGUUUGCAGUGAUCAAAAUUCAAAUUUUUCAUACCAAUUUAAAUUUUGCUACCGAGAUAAUUAGCAAUUACUAGACAGAUUAAAGACAAGUCCGUUGUAGAAAGAAAGAACAAGGGUUUAAGGAACACCGAGUGCAACUCCAAUACGGUGAGAUUAUGCUGUUUAGAUUUUUUUCUUGUAUGCUUGGUUUUCUUAGGAAGUGUUUGGUUACUUGAGGUUUAUAAUAAAUCAUAUCAUAUCAAAUAUUUUAAUAUCAAUUAGAAAAACUAAAUAUAAGUUAAUUAUAAAACUAACUGCAUAAGCCUAUGACUAAUUCGCGAAACGAAUCUAUUAAACCUAAUUAAUCCAUAAUUAGCACAUGUUACUGUGGCAUCACAUAGACUAAUCAGGCUUAAUAGAUUCAUUUCACGAAUUAGUCUAGGGUUAUGGAAUUCGUUUUAUCAUUAGUCUAUGCUUAAUACUUCAUCCAAAUAUUCGAUGUGACGAGACUUAAAAUAAACCCCAUCGAAACCAAACAUAGCCUUAUACGUGUACCAACACCCAUUGAGAAAGUAGGUGCCAAAUCUGUCGAUGGGUGGCACGGCAAGUAAAGUCACGGACCAUCCAUCCAUGAGUGGAAUGCCAUUUCUAUUUUUAUCUUUUAAAUUGGAAAGUUUGUGAGUUCUUAAAGAGGUAAAGAGGUUUCAGUAACAUAAAGUCUAAGUAAUUCAUAAAAUCUCGAUUUCAUAAGUUGCAUUAUAUCUAUCCAAACAUAAGUCCAUUUGAACACUAGGACCUGCCUAUAUGAUCUUUUUAUUAAUAAUGUAUAAAUAUAUAUUAUUAAAUCAAUUCAGCAUAUAUACGUAGCUACUCCCACGUGUGUAUUCUAUGAUGUAGGAUAUAUCUGAUCGAACGGAGAGCAUGUACGUAAAGUACGUAAUCAUACUAUACCAUCUAUGAUGGUAUAUAUGUUGAGUAUGUGACCAUACAUAGAGUAUAUAAAUAUACUCAUUUUUAUAUACUAGUAAUAAGGUAUAAUCAUAAUAUAUUUAAAAAUAAUUUUAAAUUUUUUGUUUGUAUCCUUUUAAAAUAUCUUAUAAUUAGUAUAUGAGCAUACUCAAAUUAAAGUGAUAAAUGAGUAUGUGGAUAUAUAUAUACGGUGGUAUACUGAUGGUGAAAGUAGCUCGUAGAUAAAACUCAUCCUUAUUUUAAAAAAAAUAAUUAUAUAUUGUGAAUACAUUUUUAAGCUGAAUCUAGUUAUAUCAACAUUACAUUGUCAAUCUAUAUGAUUCUUUUGGCUAUGGAUGCCAAAGCUAUAAUUGAGCUGAGUUGGGACAAACCUAAAUGUAUUUCUAUAUCUGAUCAGAUGUAGUAAACAAAAUAUUUUGGUUUCAUUGCUUCAACGAAUGUAUUAUUUUUUAAUGCAAUACCAAAUAAAUUCACUUGAUUUUCUCUGCUUGUUGUCCGCUAAGAGCCUACGAGUACUGCCUGCAAUCCGAAUCUAUUGCAAAAUGUGACUGAGAUGAUGAAAACGCAUCAGUUGAUUUUUCUGGUUUCAACAAAACUGUCAGCGUACAUGUCCGACUUCAAUCAGAAGAAGAUCAGCAAAAGAAAAAAAAACAUUAGGUAGACAGCCUCUUCUCUCUAAGCUCAGGUCUCUCAUAAUGCAUAUGAGCCUAUGAGGUGCUAUGCGUGAACUUCGAAAACCAAAGGAAAGGCACUUUGGUCGUGAUUGGGGCUGGGUUGGGCGAUCUUUUGGAUCCUUUCCGGUCAAAAUGCACAUCCGAGCAGAUCAGUACGACACUGAUCUAGCUUAAUCAGCUACUGCCCGGGGUCGUUCCCUUGGGAGACAAAAGAUGGUUGUGUUGGGCCGAACCGAAGCGUUGGGUGCGGCCAGCUCCGAUCCUCAACCAAAAGUGCACUAACACAUUACCCCAAUUUCUUUUCCGGUUCGUGCGAUAAAGCCGCUCGAAUUGCCCGUGAUCUCACUCAAAGAGGCCCGGGCACAAUGAUGCCUGUGCACGGUGGUUGGCACGCACGGGUAGCCCUGCUUGCUUGUGGCGCCACUGAGGAGACGAUGGGCAUUUUUUUUUUCUGCGUGAUAGAAUAGAAACAGAUCAGGUCCAUGAUUUGACUGACACAAUGAUGCUUAUGCAGGGUUUUGUUUUUGCUUGUACAAUUUGUGCAGUGCCCUUUUUAUCAAUGAACGUUAGAUGUAGAGCCUUUUUGUAAAGUGAGCUUUUAUCCAUUAUCAACGUACAACCACUGACUGCCGGAGCAGUGUAACAAGAUUGCAGGUUUUCAGCGGAUAUAGAUGACAGAAAAACGGAUGCAAAGCCGAGUGGUAGUCGAACUCCAAUGUUAGCACAGGUUUGGCUCUGCCGGUGCGAAGCUAUUUCAGAGAACGUGAAGCUUUGUUUCAGAAUCCGCGGCGCCUGCUGGGCACCAGCGUAUGUGCCCAUUCCUGUGUGCCGGCACAUCGCUGGAGAAUAUGUUCACCCAACGCAGAAUUAUUGUAAGCUUGCCUCUCAAUCGGGGCUGGCUUUUAAGUACGGAACCGGAUCAUAUACCUAUAAAAACGGAUUUGAAUAUUUCGGAUAUCUGCCGUCUUCGUGUUUUCUUCCAAUUUUCAUCCCUAGCUAGUUUGGUCUGAACACCUAUGCAAUGGGAGUCGUAUGGACGAACAGAACAAUGUCCUCUUGUUCACACUGAAACCCCAAUGAAAAUCGAUCGCCGAUCGGAUGAAUCGAUAUGGACGUGUGGUUGCCGUAACAGAGAGAAUUUCGAGUUUUCGCUGCACCCGUUUGCACUUUGAUGCCUGCUGAUGCAAAUUGCCGUACCAUCAUAGCCAGCUUUUUUUCUUUUUAUUUUUUGGUGAAACCCAACUGGGUACCGCAACAGAACAAAUGCCAGGGAGACAAACGGGACUACCAGCUUUUGUUGAGCAGGAGAAAGGGACACGGGAGCCAAGUUGGCCGAGACCAGGGCCACAGGCGCACAGGACACCUGCAGGUGGGUCCCGACCAAACACAUGAGCUUUCCACUUCCGACAGGGAAAACACCGAAAUUGCAGGUCCGCUUCACGGCCACGACAGCGACGACCUGGACGCACAAAUCUGUUUGCCAGUUUGGGAGUCUGUUUCUCUCUCCUCCAGCUUCAUUUUUCAUGCCAGGGCCUACAUGGACAGAGGACGCUGGGACCUGCGAAAUCCGGCCAAAUUUUCUGCAAUCUUCGUCCCCUGAAACCGGAGCAGGAUCGCUGAUAAAAAAAAAUGCUAGGAUCAGUCAAGCUACUCCGGCUUGCAAAUUGGUUUUAAGUAUUGCACCGGCAAGGCAGCCGUCGUGCAACGAGCGACAGGUACCAGAACUAGUAUUUGAUCGGUCAAACAAGCAACGCUAGAAGAAGAAGAAGAAGAAGAUAUCGUGUGAUCUUAUAGAAUCAUCUUCCAGUCCCGUCAAAAAAAGAAUCAUCUUCCAGCUAAUUUGGAGGUUGGAAAAAUUAUCGGCAUCACAUGCCGCUCCCCAACCUGCACAGACCAAAGAAGAUACGGUUUCUGAACGAGGGAGCCGCAGCAUGAAUCUCGCCAUUGCUGGCAUCAACCACUGCUUUUUCCUGGUUUCCGGUAGCAAUCAAGUCCAGACGCAUGAAACGGUGAUGUCGAGAAUAGCAUCAUUUUUUUUUUGUUACUGAAUGCAUAUCUGCAUCGUUAUCGUAGAAAAAAAAAACAUUGCUUUGCUGAACGUUUCUUUGUGGAGUUCAGGUUUGAGUAACCAACGCAAGUCGCCAUGCAUGAGAUAUGGAUUGUUGACACCAUGUCCUAAGAGCCCCGUCAGGAUAGUGGACAGCCCGCGUGCCUCUCGAGUGCGCCCGGUUUUCCACUACACUACCGAGCAAGAAGAAUCCAAGGGCACGGCAGAGUUGGAGCUGGCAGGCCCACCGACGAAAACGUGAAGACUGAAGACUGUAACAUCGCAUCGUACUCACUGUUCAGUGUUCACGGAGAUGAAAAGAAGAAUAAAGAACGAACUCAACGCUUCCCUCCAACAGCGGAUUCACUGUCGGCACAGCUUUCCCCAAGCAGCGGCGGCGGCACAAAGUCAGAACACGCCAUCGCAAGAUGUCCCAUCAACAGUUACUGUCCACCCGAAACCUUUUUUCACAGCCGGGUAACACAACAGGUUAACAACCGCCCGUGAAAAAAGUCUACCCGCAACAAGAAAAUCCAGCCCAAGACGGGAGGAGAAGACGAACCACACGCACACGCAGCUCGAUACGUGCACCGCCGGCGCCGGCGACGACGACGAUGGAGACGGGCACGGGCACGCACAGCCAGGACCAAAAGAAAAAAGAAAAAAAGAGCGCCGUGCGACGCCACACCACCGGCAGCAGAAAGCCUCGGCCCGUAUCGCGUGGCCGCCGACGUCAACGUCGACCCGUAUCACGGCGGCUUUGACCAUUGACCGGCCAGAAUAAUUCCAGGCGGGAUGCGCACCAGCGAGCGAUUUUGUUUUUUUUUUUUUUUUGCUUGCCAUGGAGACUGUGGACCAGACAGGGAGGAAGUAAAGGCAGGGCACCCAAAGCGAGCGAGCCCGGCCGGGGGCGAAAGCGACCACCCACCCCGCGCCCAUACGUCACCCUCAUUUCUUCCUUUGACUCCUCCUGCCUUUCCUGCUUUGAACACCGCCUCCUUUUCUUUUCUUUUUUUUUUAGGGAACACCACCUCCUUUUCCUUGUUGUAUUCCACAACCCUUUAUUUUAGUACGACCACAUGUUUGCAAAUAUCCGCCUUGUGGUUUGGGAAUUUGCAUGCCAGCAUGAUGGGUUCGUGGAUGGCAAUUUUUCAGCUGGGCCACGAGGUUUGUGUAAUCAUACCACCCCGUGUUCAUUCCAAGAUCGACAUGAUAUGAGACUAUAUGUAAAUUCUGAUAAAAUCUAUGUGAUUAAAGACUUCAAAAAAAUGCAUAUAUCAUGAUAUUGCAAAUAUUAUCAAUUCUGUGGUUUUAUUUAGUCAUGAUGUGUGCCAUCUAGUGAUUAAAGACUUCAUAAAAAUGCAUAAAACUUGAGAUAGAUUAUUGACUACAGCCGAUGGGUGUAACAUCUUUUUUUAAGUAAAGAAAUGACACUGAAAAUAUCGAUAUUCUAUUUUGCAAACGUGGGCCUAAUAGCCUCUUUAGUCAUCUUGUUUUGUUUAGGUUGAUUCAUGUAAUAUGAGGAUAUAUAUCGUGAUUCAUCUUUGAUAUAAACCUAUUCGCUUGUGAAAAAAAAGUGUGGAGGAAAAUAUGCAUUCUUUGAGGGGUACACGCGAAGAAUUCCCCGGAAAAAAUUGUAACGGUUACGUUACACACGACACGAGCACGGUAGACCCGGGGUGGCCGACGCGACGACCAGCACCACCACCGCUUUUGCUUCUCCUUCCAUAUACCCACCAUCCCCACCACCUCCUCCGGCCUUUCCCUUUCUGCCGCAUUCCCUCUUCCUCCGGCAGCCGUCGCCAGCUCCCCGUCCCAUGGUCCGGAAGGAGACGGCCAUGAGGCUGCCCCCGCAGCACCGGGGGCUGGAGGUCAAGAUCCCCAGCUUCUUCCGCUGCCCCAUCUCGCUCGACGUCAUGCGCUCGCCCGUCAGCCUCUGCACCGGCGUCACCUACGACCGCGCCUCCAUCCAGCGCUGGCUCGACUCCGGCAACACAACCUGCCCGGCCACCAUGCUCCCGCUCCCCUCCACCGACCUCGUCCCCAACCUCACCCUCCGCAGCCUCAUCGCCCACUGGGCCGCCUCGGCCGCCACCUGCUCGCCCACCGCCGCCGGAGGAGGCUCCGCAGCUUCCUCGGUACGGACUUCCUCCCCCGCCAGCCUCGUCCGGCAGGUGGCGGCCUCCGGCGCGGACCCGUCCCCAGCCCUCCGCGGGCUGGCGGCGUAUCUCUCCGACGAUGACGUGGACGACUUCGAAAAGAACGCGCUUGUGGGCGCCGGCCGCGCCGCCGAGACGGUCGCGUCGGUGCUCCGGAGGAAAGGCGAGGAGGAGACCAGCGUCGAGAGCGUGGAGGCGGCCACGAGGGUGCUUGCCGCGAUCGUGGCCUCGGACGGCAUCGACGACGCGAACAAGAAGCGGGUUGCCGCCGGCCUCGCCGCGGACGCGCCCACCUCAGCCGCGUCGCUGGCGCGCGUGAUGCGCGGCGGGAGCGGCCUGGAGGCGAGGGUCGCCGCGGCGAGGCUGGCGGAGUUCCUGCUCGCCAAUGCCACCGACGAGGCGAAGGCGGCGGCGGCCGAGUCGUCCGAGCUGGUGUCCGAGCUGAUCCGGAUCAUCGGCCCCGUGGACGAGAAGGGCACCCUGGACGGGAGGGCCGUGGAGGCCGGGCUCUCGUGCCUGGCCACCAUCUGCGAGUCGCGCCGCGCGGCGCGCGCCGAGAUGGUGCGGCUGGGCGCGGUCCCCGCCGCGGUGCGCGCGCUCCGCGCCACGGCGGAUCCCCGCGCGUCCGCGAGGGCGCUCCGGGUGCUCGAGUCCGCGGCGGGCUGCGCCGAGGGCCGCGCCGCGCUGUGCGAGGGCGCGGAGGAGGCCGUCCCGGCGGUGGUGGGCAGGAUGAUGAAGGCCGGGCGCGACGGCGCGGAGGCCGCGGUGGCCGUGCUCUGGGCGGUGUGCCACCGGUACCGGGACCGGCGGGCGGCGGACGCGGCGGCGGCGGCGGAGGGCGGGCUGACGAGGCUGCUGCUGCUGGUGCAGAGCGGGUGCUCGCCGGCGGCGCGGCAGAUGGCGCUGGAGCUGCUCAAGAUGUACAGAGUGAACGCCAAGAGCUGCCUCGCCGGGUACGACUCCAAGACCACCCACAUCAUGCCGUUCUGAGGAAGCGAAGCGGGUGGGAACGGCUCGGUGAUCCGCGAUGGAUGGAGUUGAGCAGCCAGCCGAUCAACUGAAUCGCGUGGAACAGUGGAUGGGUGUUCUUGUUCCUGCGAUGAUGUUUCUUGCUUUUUUUUUCCUUUUUCUUUUGAUGUAAGUCGAUAGAUAGAGAAAGAAAGAAGAAUUGGUUCGUGGAGGGGAGGAGGAAGAAUAAUCUGUACAUGCGUAGAGAGAGUUUUGACAUGAUCUUAUCAGAACAGGCACAGGGGACAAAUUUAACCAAAGAAUUGAUUUUUUUUUUUUAGGCCAAGGCAAUUGCAUGUGCAUGAUAAAGUUGCAGCUCUGGAAUUGCACUCUGAGAGAGAAGAGAGAAACAAUGAUCGUCAUGAGCUGUGAAACGAUAAAGCUGCAGCCUCAAGCGAAAAUCAUUACAUGCUGCUCUGACCAAAAUCCUCGAAGAACUCGCACGACGACGAAUCAUUGGUCUACACAGCAGUUGGUGAUUCGUAGUACUAGGUUUGAGAGAGAGAGAGAGAGAGAGAGAGAGAGAGAGAGAGAGAGAGAGAGAGAGAGAGGGGUGCUUAUCAGGCAGCAAGUUGUAAAAAAUUACCUGAUGCGGAAUGUCGGGGUCUGGACUCUAGAACGGAUUACGCCUCCUACGCAUAUCCGUAGCUUGAAAGCAAAAAUGCGUACAGCAUGGUCGCUAGUCCUAGUAGGAUAAGUCUAAUUAAAAUGGGAGCAUCUCCCUCCACGUCUGCGUUUGACCGGAUGUCAUGAUCAUUUGACCAGGGCGUGGAGCAUCACGUCCAGUUCACUCCACCCACACGCCGGGGGCAUCAUGCCUGAACUUUUAGCUGCAACUAGCAGCUGAGACGCCGAAGUGCUUCCGGACAGCAGCAGAUUGAGCAGAGCAAGCCAGGGACAUUUGCUUGCCUUCUGAUUUGUUUUCAGCUAAGUGAUCAUCCGUGCAGCAGGAAAAAUAGAACUUGAGUUCUUAAAAAAACAGUACUUAAUUGCGAAGAAAUUCAGCUAAUAUCACCAGCUAUUUGGAUUUAGACAUGGCGUUCAGAGAUGGGCGAGGUGGUGGCGAGGCGCCGGUCGAGCACCUCAACGAAAGUGAGCGAGAGCGUGAGUGGGAGGCAGAACGGUCGCGCACCACAUGCAUCUUUACCCUUUUCCCGUUCCGAUGAACCGGACGACGUGUAGCCACCUAGCCGGCCGGGCAAAGUUUCCGGCGCCCUUUAGCGGCGUCCAAACUCCUAGGCCGGCCGCAGGAGUCAAUCCUGGGGUAGUUGUUUAGGGCAGUACAACAUUCGGGUUGCGCGUCCUAUCUUGAAGUGCGCAAACGAACAAAAACGAACUGAGUUUCUGAAAAUGCAACACCCAUAAAAUAACAAACCAUCAACGUUACAGCAUAUUGUCUGUCUGGUAUUCUGAUCAUCACGUUACAGCACAUCCAAGAGGUAUCUGUUCGGCAUCUAGAUCAUCAAUGUUACAAUACAUCCGAGCACCAUGACUAUCCUAUCGAUUAGAAGUUUGUGACCGGCAUUUGAAACACUACGAUAUUGCAGUACAUCCAAGCACCAUGAAUCUACAUGUUUCAACCAGUAUCCAUAGCUACCAAACUACGUAGCUGCAUUGAAAUCAAUGGCUGACAAUGAUGCUACACAGCCUGCAGGUCCAUGGACGAAGCACAAAAACACAAAAGUGGCCGCAACUGGUGGAGGCAAAAUGAGCACGAGCUCGACUGCUCAUGCAUCCUAAUUUGAGCUGCAAAAGGAUAAUAAUUUAUUGUCUAGCCCGUCUCCUGGAGAUAUAAUAGCAAGACGCAAAUGAUCCACUAUCUUGGUUUUUGUCCUAAAAAUUGCAUGGCUAAUCCUUGCAUGCAUCCUAAAAAUUUAAUAUCUAGCAUGUCUCCUGGAGAUGUAACUGCAAGGGUGACAGUGACCAAAGACAAUUUAGGGUGCGUUCGUUUUCUACCCUCUAAACUUUAGACCCGUCACGUCAAAGAGAAUUUUAUCAUUUAGAAGUAUUAAAUAAAGUCUAAUUACAAAUCUUUUUGCACAGAUGGGUGCUAAUUCGCGAGAUAAAUUUAAUGAGCCUAAUUAAUCCAUAAUUUGCCAUAGUGAUGCUACAGUAAUCAUCCGCUAAUCAUGGUCUAAUAUAACUUAUUAGAUUCGUCUCGCGAAUUAGCCCUAGAGUUCUGCAAUUAGUUUUGUAAUUAGACUUUAUUUAAUAUUUUUAAAUGAUAAAAUUCUCUUUGAUGUGACGGGUCUAAACUUUAGACCCUAGGAAACGAACACACCAUUAUUCUUAGCUUAUUUAGCAUUUUGAAAAGUUACAGUGCAAGUUCAGAGCUGACAAAUGUGGAUUCCAAUAAGACAUCGACUAUAAAUCGUUAUUGCUCACAGAUCAAUCAUCUGCAUCCUAAGUAAAAAAGUACACCUUACAGUACAAGAUUCCCUGUAGUCCUGUAGAGCAUGAUGGGAAGUCCUUAAUCCUUUAGCCAUUUUACUAACAGUAACGCAGGCAAGUAAAAGAAGCAAUUACCUGGUCUAAUCAGGAGCAUCUGCACCAUCGUUACCGCUGCCACUGUCAUCUCCAGCUUGCUCAGCAGUGAAAAGUUUUUUAGCAACCUUUUUAUUAGGAGAUGGGCGAGACCUAUAAGUAUAGAUAUAAGUUUUGUGCUUAUUAACAAAAUGACAACAAAAAAACUGGAUGGUAUUAGGGAUAACCUCUUCUUUGUAGCGCUUGUCUGUGUCUUUGUAGAAGAACCACCAGUGGCAUGUGCAAUGGAAGCCAAAAUCUUGUCUGGUGGCAAGAAAUGCUAAAAUGAGCAUCUAAGGCUACUGAUCAUAAGUCUUUAUCUCAUGAAGCUAAGGCAUGGCCUAUAUAAAGUAUCCACUCAUCUGCAGCUUAUGAUUUUAAGUAUAAACAGGUUUUUCAUAUCCACAACACAUUUUAGGCAGAAAUGCAUAUCUGAUCAGACUGAGCACAGCACAAUUUGCAAAAUGCAUGUCCCUCUGUGGAGCUGUAGUCUACUGCAGUGGAUAAAAACAGCAAGGAGUAAUUUUACCUCAUCAUGAGCACAGUUAAGAGAAAUAUAGAAGAUAUUCAGAAGGGCAAUAUGUUUGUCUGACAUAAAGGAGGCAAAAAAGCACCUCAAUACAGGGGCAAACAAUGCCACACAAGCCAGGUUGGUUUUGGAGAGUAUCACACAACACCAUUUGUAGGCAAUGUGUUCUGCGCAUUAAGAAACGUAGCGUCAUUUAGUAUAGCAAUCUUAGAUGUAGCUCCAAAAUUUCCAAUGGUGAUAUUCUCUGCAGAUGCCCAAAUAAAAUUUAAAAAAAAUCAAGAACUUAGUUUAUCUGUCUAACAUAAGUAGCUCAUGGCGUUAGAUUCUAUCCAAGGCCCCUGCCAUGGUUGUGUCAGUGCCAUCUUUCAUGACAGCCACAUUUUUUAUAGAAAAAGGACAUUGUAUUAUUAUCCAUCCAAGAAAUCAGUUAAUCCCAAUCUGCAAUCCAAUGUAGAACAACUUGUUUCUAGAAGCACACUAUAAAUUAUGAAUGGACCACUACCAUUGAUCUCUCUAAUUCCAAACAAUAAAAGAGAGAGGGCACAUGGGACUCACUCUAGGUGGACGAGUGCUAGUCUGCAAGCCCUCAGCGCCUACCAUUCAACAGCAUAUCCGGCGUGCUGGCCGGGGCUCGUCGUUGUGCUUGAGCUCAAGAUCGUGCUGGAGCUCGAGCUCGAUCGGGAGCAUGUUGCCGCGCCGCUCCCUCGCCACAGCCGGGAUCGACCCACCGCGACGCGCCCCCGUGGCCUUGCCUGCCCGCCGCUCCAAGCCGCCACGGCCCAUGCUGCGUCCGAGCUGGGAUGCCGUGCCUGCCCAAGCACCGGCUUCGGCUAGACCGCGCUGCAGCGGCGUCCAAGCUCGAGGCGGUGCCGGAGACUCUCUCCUUCGGGCGCCCGGCGGUAGAGAGCAGGAGGAGUGGUGGCGGGGAGGGGCAACUGAGGAGAGGGGGAGAGAGAGGGCGGCAGCUGGGAGCAGGAGAGGGAGAUGGCAGCGGGGCGCGCGGAUCCUAACGGCAUUGCGCUUGGUCUCCCGCAGCACGUCGAGGAGCUCAGACGUCACGCUCUCCCGUGCCCUCGACCUCGGUGAGUCAUGCCUCCUCCACCGCAUCCAAGGUGCGGCUGGGCAAGGGCCUAGGCACACGGCGGCCGUCGCUCUGCUCCAUGCGCUAGAGCAGCCGCGCCGUGGCUGGCCGGCCCACGCCCCCUCGCUUCGAGCCGCGCCCCACGCUGGAUCCGGAUCCUGCGGGAGCAGCUAAGAGCAGGAGGAGCGGCGGCGGGGAGCAGGAGAGGGAGGGGGAGGUCGGCGGGGAGGAGGGAGAGGGGGGUAGGGUUCGGAGCUGUGGGAGGGGGUGAGUGAAAAACUGCUUAGCAGGAUUUUUUCAAACACGAUAGAAUUAUUGAAUUUUUUCUUCUUUAUAUCAAAAUAAACAUUAAUUUGAGGUUCCACGGGGAAAAUAAAAGAACAUGAGCAGAGAGGUGGGUUUAGUUGUGAUUAUUAGAAAGUAGAAGGGUUUUUUUGAAAAAUAGCCAAAGCAAGUGUUAUCUUUUUUUCCGUGAAGCACAGCGGGGAGGGCAAAGCCCAGCAGGUUUUUAAUGAAGCUGAUGCGGACGCCGGUCACAGUUGACCGACUGACUCGCGUCGCGUGGGCCUUUUCUCGUGAGAGCACGCGGGGAGGGAUUGAGAGAUGAGAGACGGGACGGAGAACGGCCAACGGGAGAAACGGCGAUAAAGAAGAGGCGGUGAUCUUUUUUCAAGAAAGAAGAGAAGAAGAAGAGGCCGAGCAAGGCAGGACGGAACGUGUUACUGCUCUUUUUCGGUACUCUUUUUGACCGCCCUGCCGCUGAACUGAACCGAAUGGCCCGACCCGCAAGUUGGCCAUCCAUCUCCUCGCGCUCCUUUCUGCCUCUGCUCUGCCAGUCACCACUCGCCACUACGCGUUCCCGACUUCCCGUCCAAGGUAACUCUGAAAGUCUCAGUCGGAUCCACCGCGUUGCUUAGUGGGCCGUGGAGAAAGGAUCGGAGACGGUCGGGUGGCGUGGAAGCUGGAGGGGCCGAUCGGACUCGGAGCGACCCCGGCGCGUCGCCAUGGCUUCCGGCGGGCUGGCUGGAUCCACGCGCCCCAGGGCGGGGGGAGACCGACGGCGAGCUGGCGCGGGUCGUGCGCCGCCUCGCUGGCCACGCGAACCCGCACCGCGCGAGGACCUCCCGGUCGGUCGGUCUCGGUCACAGGCUGUCGGCUCGUACUCCUCCGUCCUGUCUGGUCUGUCCUCCAGCGGCUACCCAGGCAGGCACCGUGCCGUCCGGGUGCUGCUGCGUCUGCGUGCGGCCGUACGCUCGACUUGGCUACGGCCCGGGGGGGCUGGGCUGGCUGGCUGCCGUGCGAGUUGGAGAGGCUUGGAGCUCGACGAGGACCUUGGGCUUCAUUAUGUGGUGCUAAAAGCCCACGAGAGGACUUUGCCUGCCACUGCACGCACCCACAACUACGUACGUGAGUCAUUUCAUCAUGGGCUAUAUAAUUCCAAUAAGAUGGGCCCAUUCCUACGUGUCCCUCUGGGCUGCUGGCUGGAGCGAGCGAGAUAUACACCCGCCCCCUCGGAUGCGGCCCGGCUGUCGGCGUGCAUCGGGCUGGGCUCAAACUCCUCAGGUCCUCCUGCAUCAUCAUUCGCGCACAGGCUGCUUCAUCGAACACCAUCCAUCGCUCUGUAUGUGUGGACUAUGGAGGCAUGCUUCAACUGCAUUUCCUUAAACUGGACGGUGGUAAUCACUGAACAAGCUAAUUUAAUUAGUUCAUACACGACGUUUCAGGAUAAGCUAAGAGGGAGUAAUACUAGUGUUUUGUCACUGCUGAAAGGCUGAAGAAAGGAAGAGGCCAUUGCAGAUGAGCACCUGGCUUCAUGCAAGUUCCGUGAUCCGACCACAUCUAUCCAGCUUCUGGAGAGAUCCAUUCCAUCUCUCAACGAUUUUCGACUACCCUGUAGAUCAGAGCACAUUCAGCACCGUGCUAAAACCGUAACAAGUUAGGCAAAGCUAGCAAAACCCUUUCUCGGUCUGCUGCUCCUCCUUCCGGCACGGUAGCCAGUUAAACACUAGGUUGAUCAUGCAUCCUACAUUUCUACCGUGCCGGAACUGCAUGCCACGGGCGCACUGGAACUACCACUGCUGCUGGUCAUCAGGUGAACCUGGCGAGACACGCAUCAUGCGCCCCUCCCAUGCGUGGCUCCUGAAAAGCACACCACGCACGAAUCAUGGCGCUCGUCCUUUAUUUGCCAAAGAAGAGACGGGCUCCCCUUCAGUCAUCCACCCUAGCCGCUAGCUACACAUCGCAGCAUCGACCAAUGCAUAUCCAUGAGCGAUACCACGCUAGCACUGAUUAAAGAACCCGGGGGCAUGCAGGAUACUCACCACGCCUAACUUUGCUAAAAGCGGCCAUAAAAUACGUCACGCUUUGUGCUUACCGAGUUUCCUUUUCUUUUCCUUUUUUUCUUUACGGGGCUAGUAGAGAACUGGCCUCUCAUGAACUUUCUGGAAGUGCGUGAGAAUCUCAUCUGCCCAAGUGUAAGAACUUCACCAGUGCCAAGCGACGGACAUGCAUGGCCUGCAGGGCAGGAGAGAUGGGUUAAAAAUUUUACAGUACCGUCAUGCAUCUACACUAUAUGGUAUAUUAGUACACUAGAUUAUACUAGUAGAUUUGCAGGUAUUGAUAAUGGAUCCAAAGCCCUAGCACGUGCCCUCGGCCUAAUGCUGCCUUAAUGGAUCUAACAAAAGCACCGCUAAAUCGCAGUCGCUUGAAAGAUGUCAUGCAUGCAGUCAACCUUUUCCUGUGUGCAGCGUAUGCAUUACGCUGACACCUUUUUCUCCGGCCCGAGCACAUAUUUCAUUAAUACGACCAUUACAAAUCUUAGGGUGUGUUCGUUUCCUACGGUCUAAAGUUUAAAGGUGUCAUAUUAAAAAGAAUCUUAUUAAAUAAAGUCUAAUUACAAAACUAAUUGCAGAACCCCAGGGCUAAUUCGCGAGACGAAUCUAAUGAGGUAUAUUAGUCCAUGAUUAGUGGAUGAUUACUGUAGCAUCACUGUGGCAAAUUAUGGAUUAAUUAGGCUCAUUAAAUUUGUCUCGUGAAUUAGCACCUAUCUGUGCAAAAAAAUUUAUAAACAGAUUUUAUUUAAUACUUAUAAAUAGCAAGAUUCUCUUUAAUGUGACGGGUCUAAACUUUAGAGGGAAGGAAACGAACACACCCUUAAUAGCCCGAGACUAUUAAGACGGAUACAGACGACCCUGGCAAACAAUCCCAAAAACAAACAAGAACAGCAAGAAAUAGGAAAGAGGAGACUGACGAACUCUCAAACCUAGACAAAAACACAGAACUGAACCUGCUAAAAGACGCUACGACAUCGAGAGCGCACAGAUCAAUGACACAACAAGGGUAGCAAAGCAUUCACCCGAUCAACCAACCAUGACGACAAAGCAUCCGCCCCGAAGCGAUCUCCAACCAAGACGACGAUGGCGGCAAAGCAUCCACCAGAGCAGAACGGCGACAAAGCAUCCACCAGCGACAAGAGAGGUGGCAAAGCAUCCUCCAAAUGACGACCUACGCAACCCGGACGAUGUAGAGGAAACAGAGUGAAGACAGGCGCAGAAGUGGAAACUCUCCGAAGAGAGCAAGCGACCACCACCAGCAGAGCUUCCAAGACGACGCCUCAAGGGAGAGAGCGACGCCACCGGCACCAUCGUCGUUCGGCCACCAGGUUAAGGCUUUCACCCGGAGAGCUCACCGGAGAGGAGAGAAGAGGGGGAAAGGAUGACGCCUUAAAGAAGGUAAACAACGCCCGAGGGUGUUAUCGUCAUCGGCUCGCAAGCAGAUCCUAGGCUUUCGUCUCCACCCGUUCCCUCCCCAAAACCAACGCCGCCACAGCGCAGGAGAGCCCACCGGCCGGCACCCUGCCGCAGGAGGCCACCAGGAAGGGAUGGCCACUAGGGGGCAGAAGGCAACCACCGAGGCCAGGCCAGCCAGCCGAGCUGAAGGAAAGCCGGCCGGCCCCGGCAACCUAGAACGAAGAAGGCCGGCACCAACCCCCACAAGAACGUGCACCCGUCCGAAGGUGGCGCAAGCGCCGGCGACCCGUCCCUGGGUGAGCGGCCCCGACCAACUGAGCAGAGAGGCACAGCACGGCCACACCAAGGGCGCAGGACCGGUAGGUGGGGCGGCAAGGCCGGAGCAAGCGGCAACGGCGGCGCAGCCACGCGCCCUUGCCCAACCGAGCCCCGAAGGCAUAGCAAGCCCACGCCGCGGGCGCAGAGCCGGCCAGCUGGUGUGGCAAGGCCGGAGCGGGCGGCGGUGGCGGCGCAGCCACGCACCCUCACCCAACCAAACCCUCGGAGGUGCAGUAAGCCCACGCCACGGUGUAGGGCUGACCAAGUGGGGCGGCAAGGCUGGAGCGGGCGGUGGUGGUGGCACAGCCACGCGCCCCACCCAACCGAGCCCCCCCGGAGGCACAGCAUGCCGGCCGGCCAGGAAAGGGGGCGGCAGCAACAGAUCCGGCCUGGGGAACCCCGGAUCCGGCGAGGGGGAGGCCCGAUCCGGCCCCAACGGCCGGCGGAGGAGCAUCGACAGGUUGAGGCGAGAGGCCGAGCGGAGGUAGGCGGGGGAAGAGAGAAGGGGGGAGACUGCAAGCUGAGCCGACUUCGGCUUAGCCGCGGGCCGCCGCCGCCACCCGAACGGUCCGCGGUGGCGGCCACCGGAGGUGGCGCUGGCGGGGUGGUGGGCGGCGGCGCGGGACGGCCCCGAGCCAUCCGAUAGAGCGACGUGGGGGAGGGAGAGCCUUCGUCGUCCUCCCCUUUUCUUUUUAGCUCCCAAGUGCGGUUUUUACACUGCACCCUUAAUAAUUUUAUAUCGUUAGCAAAACCGUACGUGAUGGUCAUGUUAGCAGCUGGCACUGGUAUGUGAGACUGCAACUCUGCAGCAUUGCAAAAGGUUAAGAGAAAAGCAGCCAUAUGGGAAUGUGCUCGCCAUGUCAGUACAAGCGAGGGGCACCGGCACUGGCAAAGCGAGUGACGUCUCCAUGACCGUAUGCAUGUGCACCGAGGGGCAUCCUUUCAGCGCCACCAGUUCUUGUCAAAGCAUAUACCGUGCAUUAGCAGUUAGCACGCUAGCUAGCUAGGGCACGGAGGUUUUCCUUGUCAUCUUCAGCGCACCGACAUGCCCAACCCUAGCUGAGCAGCAGCCGCAGCAAUGGGCAUGUAUGUGUACAGUGUACUGAGCCAUGACAAGGAGCUUGCUAUAGCUAGAUCGGCGGUGGGAUAGAUCAUAGAUGAACUGAUGGGAGUUUAACAAUUAUUAAUUUUCUGCUGAUGAUGGUGCUCACUCGAACUGUUGAACAUUGAUGCAUGUAAAAAAUUCUUCUUCUGAAUUUGAUCCCGAGCCGCUGUGCUAAGGCGACACAUUUGAAAAACAAGAAUUUCAGAAAAAUUUGCAGAAAUAGUUCACAGACAUAUUUUUCCCAGACAAACUCUUACAUCUUUCUGAAAGUAGAAUAUUUCUUCUAGUGUUUAAUACUAGGUUAGAAAAAAAAGGGCUACUAGGACGACUCCCACCGACAAGAUGCAGCUCACCGAGACAGCCUUACGCACCCUCAGAUACCUGUAACCACUGGAUUUGGAAGUAUUGAUGGCGCGGCGAACAACGCUAGUGCCGACUGCUGGGUGUUUUUCCGGGGGCCUGUUCGUGGCCACACCAAUAAGGACGAGGCGAGCAGGAGGCAUCUGCAUCUCGAUUUCUGGGGGGAGACGAUCGAUUUCGCCUGUUUUCCUGCGGGUCGGCCGAGGGAAGAAGACAACCGCCUCAGCCUUUUCAGGGGAGAUCAUAAGCUGAGAAAUGCCUUCGCUCAGAUGAAUGCACAUGUGUUCGUCAGCCCGUUUGUGGGCAUUGGGCAACCACCUCUCGCUUUCGUUCUGCAGAGCCGCGUGCACUGGAUUCCGGUAGCCCUAAACCCUUUCACACUACACGAGCAGCCCCUUGCAGAGGAUGAGUGAUCCAAGUGGAUGUCAGUAUUGGAGUGCUAAAUGUCUGAAGCUUUGUUUGCACUGGGCAGGAGGAGGGUGUGAUGAAAUGAUCUUGGUAAGACAAAAACAAGUGCCGAAAUGCACAAAUUAGCAUGCUGAUGCUUGCGAUUAGUCGGGCCUCGUUUUAGUUACUUUAGCUCAUGUUCCAAUCCCCCCAUGCGUAUUCCUUAACUAACAAAUUUUCUAAGGUGGCAGAUGCAUGUGUCUUCUCCGGUCCGAUCUUGAUCUAUGAAUUCAUAUCAUCUCUAGUUUCAACCUAACAUUUGAGGCUGUACCACUUUUCCUACAGAUAGGAAAACCGUUAGUUUGAAGUUAUAUCCAGGCCGGCUUUAAUAGAGAAUGCCGCAAUAAUUUGGAGUGUGAUAGUAGAAUUAUGCUGCCGGCUAGCAGGAAAAACUGCCGUUGAUGAAGGUAAUAGGCUGAGGUAGGGUAGUAGUAGUAGUGCGAGAGAUUGAUCAGCUUGCAUGAUCGAAAGCAGAUGUGCGGUGCGGGGUGUGUAAAUGUCUUCCAUACAUGUUCUACUUUAGCUACUGUCCUAAUGCUAUCACCAGUAUAGAAAUUGCCCUAUUAACGUCAUCACAAAAAAGGCUCCUUGCGCGCGCACUUUCUUUGGCCAGCUAACAUGCUCAAAAUGGUAUUCCAUAGUGCGGAUACGUGCAGAAAAACACAAUUUUUAUGAGAACCAUGACGAUUUCCGGCUGCCCAUGUAACUGCCCGUAAAUAGCAGUUCACUGUGACCACAGCCCUGAAGCUACUGUAGAAAAGCACAAGAUCAUGGUUCAUCAACUCCCGAAAAGAAACUAUAUACUUUCAUUUUCCUUUUUCCACGCUCAGCAUUCUCUGUUCUGCAGUUCUGCUCGGUCCACGUCGUGUGAUCUCAACAGCCCGGCGACCUGCCCGGCUGCGCAAACGUCACAUGGGUCUUCUCUUCUCUACAGUGCCUACUUACUAGUCACUGUCGCUACAGUGCGAUGCAGAAAAAAAUACUUGUAUAUGCAACGAUGUAAAAAGACCUGCACCGCGAGGGCCCGCGCCGGUAACUAGCUCCUAGCAGCCCAGCAGCUACCAUGGCGUCAACAGGUUCAGACUGGCCCGUGCUCGACCAGUGACCGGCGAACGCAAGGGACCAGCGGGGAAGCCACGCCUCGCCUCGCCUCCGUCCCCACAUGCCUAUCCUCUCGAUCACGAGCGGGCAUCCGAGGCCCCCACUCCACUCCAUCCGCCGUGUAUAUAAGAGGUGGCAGGGCGAGCUUCUCCUCAGACCACCAGCCACACUGACCAGAGCCAAGCGGUAGCUUGAAGUGGAGUGAGGAAGUGUGAGAGUGAGAGGAUGGGUGGCAAGGCAGCUCUGCUGCUGGCCCUGGUGGCCGUGAGCCUGGCCGUGGAGAUCCACGCCGACGCCGGCUACGGCUACGGCGGCGGGUACGGACCCACGCCCACGACGCCCACGCCGGCCACACCGACCCCUAAGCCGGAGAAGCCGCCCAAGGGCGGCAAGCCGGAGAAGCCACCAAAGGGCGGCAAGCCGCCCAAGGAGCACGGGCCCAAGCCUGAGAAGCCACCCAAGGAGCACAAGCCUCCCACCUACACCCCGAGCCCGAAGCCGACGCCGCCCACGUACACUCCCACCCCCAAGCCCACUCCGCCGACGCCCAAGCCGACGCCACCCGCCUACACUCCCACGCCCAAGCCGACGCCGACGCCGACGCCGAAGCCCACGCCGCCCACCUACACUCCCACGCCCAAGCCCACUCCUCCGACGUACACUCCCACGCCCAAGCCACCGGUAACCAAGCCGCCGACACCGAAGCCAACCCCGCCGACGUACACUCCCUCGCCGAAGCCCACGCCGCCGACGUACACCCCGACGCCCAAGCCGCCGGCGACCAAGCCGCCGACCUACACCCCGACGCCCAAGCCCACUCCGCCAACCUACACCCCUAAGCCGAAGCCGCCGACCAAGCCACCAACCUACACCCCCACGCCCAAGCCCACUCCCCCGAGCUACACCCCGUCGCCGAAGCCGAAGCCGACGCCACCGACCUACAAGCCGACCCCCAAGCCCACUCCCCCGACCUACACCCCGUCGCCCAAGCCGAAGCCGACGCCGCCAACCUACACCCCGUCGCCGAAGCCGAAGCCGACACCGCCGACCCCCACCCCCACCCCCAAGCCAACUCCUCCGACCUACACGCCGACCCCCAAGCCCACUCCUCCGACCUACAAGCCUGCCCCCAAGCCGACGCCGCCGACCUACAAGCCUGCUCCCAAGCCGACGCCGCCGGUGUCCUACACCCCCAGCCCGCCUCCGCCCUACUACAAGUGAGAUCCGCUACUCUGCUGUGUCAAGCUCGGAGCAUAGGGUACGUACAACAAGAAACGAGCAUGCACACAUUUUCUAACAUUUCCGUCAGAUGCCUUCUUUGUUCAUUUAUCUGAAAAAUACCUUUGCUUAACCAAUGGUGAUCCUUUUGUUUGUUGUGUGUUGCAGAAGGUGAUGGAAGAAGAGUUUGUGCCAACCAGCCGGCCAAGAGUUGAGCUGAAGAUGAGAGGCCCUUCCCUGAUCCUCCUCCUACGUUUGCUGCCGUCCAUCUGUCCUAGCUUGAGAGGAGAGAAUAAUGCAAGCAGAGCUCUGCAGCACCCUCUGAUUUCUGCUGUCCCGUUUAAUUCGUGUUCGUCGCCAGUGUCGUCUGUCUUAGCAGCCGUGUCGUGUGUGGGUAAUGGUAUUGCCACUAUUGGUGUGUCAUCAGGAGGUUUACUGUGAAAGUAAAGCCACAAUAACCGAAAUGCAAGUGAAAGCUAGUAUUUUUACUGUUCUGCUACUCCGUUCACUGCGCAAACGCGUUCUCAGCUACCUCCUCGCGUCUGCAUUUUCCUCCAUGACGACGUGACGAGAUGUGAUGUUUUCAUGUCUGAGAUGCUCGGUGUACAGAGGCAGUGGCCUAUAUGGACAGCACUCUUUGCGUGUCUCUUAGUGGUUACCUCCACUCAUCCACUGCAUCCGUAGAUUCAGAGCGCCAAGCUGCCCAAGCGGUGACUCCAUUGAAUACUGGAACCCAAUCCUGAAUCCUCUGCUCGCUUUGGUGCAGCAAGCAUGCAGUACAAACCUUUUCUGAAUUUCUGUGGUAGUACAAACCUGUUUCAGGGGCCAUCUAAGCUUGGCAAAGUUCGUCGGCAGCUAGCCCAGCAAUUAGCUCAGAAACAUCACAUGACCUAGAUUUCCCAAUCCUAGUGGUUGAAAACAAAUCCACUCAUAGUACGUUGCGUGCGUGGAGCCAAGAGAAAGCAGACAAAAGCACUACUUUUUCCCCCUCUUUUCUGGGGAAAAAAAUAAGCAAGAACACGAACUGGUCAGAAUAUAGUAAAAUUAACCAUGGUGACCCCCGGUGUACGACCAUGCGUGCUUUAUAUUAUCCAUUGCUCUCUAGCCAUGUUAUGCAAAAGUGAGGUGCUUGCUGCAUGCUUAGGCCGAAGAUAACCCCAUGGUGCGUGAUAUUGUUACGAGAUGGAGACAUAAUGAGGCUAGAAGGAGGCCCUAGAUCGAUGGAAACAUUUUAGGAAGAAGUUGAAGUGCUUAUCGCGUGUUUAGGAAAAGACAAGCAAUAUUGUGUGCUGUAGAUAUCUAAGGCUAAGUUUCGAAAAGUGAAAUUCCAUGCGCCGCUGUUCAUCUCUUGCGCAUCUUUUUACAUGCUCCCACGCAAUAAGUUAAUUAAGGGCAUAAUAGAAUCGUUAAACCGACCGAUAGCCCACAUGUUUAUAUGCUACAUAUAUAAUAGCUAGUACAGUGCAGUACACCACACACACACAUUUACGUAGAUUUAUGCCGCUCACGAUCAUCUCGGGUUCGCACGGAUAUGAGACAUCUUUUUACCUAAGGCCACAUGCCCACGUGGGCAUGUCGAUGGAUGUCAGAGAUAAAGUUAACUUGUGAAGAAUAAAGAAAAAAAGGAGCUUCGCCUCAUAUUACGCCCUACACCCAUACCUGUCACUGCAAAAUGGCACAAACAUGCGAAAGUAGAACGAAGAAAAGAAUGUUUCCUGAAAACAAAAGAACGAACAAAAAUAACGUUACUGAGUCGAAAUGAUGCAUGGUGUUCAGUAAGAAACUUGAUUGAUUUCUUUCAAAAAAAAAAGAAACUUGAUUUCUGUGAGUCACUUGAUCGAUGACCCAAAAGGAUUAAUAGCCGAGCUAAUGUAAUUCAGAGGAACCGUGCUCUAUUACUACUCUAGCAACCAUCUGCUUCUCUCGAAGAGACACUCUACCGUCUGUCUGUUCGACGACAACCAACGAGUCAGCAGCAGGGAAACUUACUUGAACUGCAUCCUGAAAAUCCAAUGGUUUUUACUAUGCAGGUUCGACGGCAUGGUCGUCGUCUUCCCGGUGAAAUUUGAAAAAGUUGGCCGGCAUGGGCAGCAGCAGCAAGCAAGGGAAGAACAAAUGAACAGCAGUUUGGUGGCGUGGCGCGCCAUACAUAAAUGGCUGGCGCGUGCAGCGACCUAGUGAGUGGCGGAGUGAAAAGAAAAGAAAAGAAAAGAAGCGAUCCGAUCCAUGUAUUGCACGAGAAAGGCAAGCGUGCAUUCAUUAGUAGCAAGCAACGUGGCUCCGGCUCCGGCUCCGGCUCCUGUAACUGUAAUGUAAGCAGGCAUUGGCCGGCCGGUGGGAGAAGGGCAAGAGGACCCGUGUGGCCGUGUACGUGAAGGCAGUGCAGUAACGGGUAGUAGCUAUAGGUCAACGUAACGUAACGUAACAGCUGUGUUUAGACCGACUGAUGCGCAACUAGCGUCGAGUCAUCAUCAGGCAGGCCUAACUAGGUUAUUAGUAGAUAGCUUGAGCAAAGCAGCUUGUGACAUCUAGAGGGCUCUGCACUCCAAUCAGCGCGUGUGACGUCUCGAGUGUGGGCAACCUGUGCCGGCCGUGCAUGCAUGGCAAGGCAGCACAGCAGAGGCACAGAACAGAUGGGGCAGGUACAGAGACGCUGGCGUACUCUACCCUCGAAAGCCGCCGCGGUCGACGGGGCCAUCCAUGGCGGGGAGCACGGAUGAGAAGGCUCGAGAAGGGGCCAGUGGCUGGCCAGGGGUGCAGGUGCUACUGUUACAGGCGCCGAGACCGGCACGCCAGGCAGGCCCACUCCUUUCACCGCUAGCCGCAAGCGCGACGCACAGCACAAACAGGGCCGCUGCAAGGAGACCUAGCCGCCCGCCCUGGGCCCUCCGGGCCCACCCACCAUUGACUGUUGCAGAUCUGGGAACGAAGAGAACGGACGAGCGAGCCUCGUCUGCGUCCCGGGGGCCCCGGGCUUUGACCGGCAGGGCGCGCGGCGGCGGCGGCCAGGGCCAUUUGCGCCGACACCACCGGGGGACACGGCCGAACCGGCGGGGACGCGCGGAUGAGGACGAGCGGGCGGCCGAGCGGGAGCGGCGGCAAUUUUUAAUUUGACGCGAGUGCGAUGCGGAGAAUGAAGCCAGCCAGCGCGCCCCCGCCGCGAUGAUUGGGGAUGGCCGGGCGGCCGGCUCGAAUCCGGGACUAGGCGAGCGCAGCCAGCGCGUGGAUGGUGGGGAAGCCGACAGCUCGACGACGGGGACGGACGGGGCUCUCCCCUCCAUCCAUGUGGGCUGUGGCCCAUGCCCGAGCCUGCUGCUCAUCAUCAGCAAACGGCGAAGCUGCGCGCACACUUCCCGGCCCCGGGGGACACGCCGUCAGCGGCCUAGUACUAUGUAUACCUAUCAUUCAGCACGUAGUUUCAAAUAGAAAAUAGAAAAAAAAUCAUUCAGCGCGUAAUUCCUACCUGUAACCAUUUCCUUUUGUCUUCCUUUUCUAAAAACAAACAUUUCCAUUUUGUUUUGGUUGUUAACGGCCCGAUCCCGUCGACCGUCGCGGCCUCAGAUCCAUGGCGCAAAAAGGCUCGCCAUUCUUGAAAGCUGCAGGCAACAGCACGGUCUUACACGGUUUGCAUGCAAGGAUGGAGACGCGGCAAGGAAAGAAAGAAAGCUGCAGGCUAGCGAUCCAGCGCGGUGCUCUACCGAGAACCUAAAUCUACAAUACGCGACAGCCGCGUCUCCAGCCACCCAAGUAUUUAGUUGUCUUCUUAUUUCUAUUUUUCUUCCAUUACAUUCCACAAGUGUGCUAUCAUUUCUUUUUCUUUUCAGGUUUUUUUCUCUCCUUUCACGUUCUAUUACGUGUUGGAGUUCUCUUGUCAACUUUUUUUUAUAUAAAUUGUACUCAGAAGUUGUAUGAUAAACUUGUGCAUAAAAAUAUUAUGUGAGAAAUCUCCCCGAAUAAAGAUAACAUCAUACAAGUUGUGCUGAAAACUUAUCCUUCAUGAUUAUAUGUAUUGCAAAGUUAUGAUGCAAAAUUAUCUCUCAGAAAGUGUGUGUAAAAAGUUAUGCGUAAAAGUUAUAUUUAGAAAUUAUAACUUUUCAAAAGAAAAAAUUGCAGAGAAAAAAAUCUUAUCAAGAAAGGAGACAUACCAGCUGUUGGAGAUGUUCGGUGGGAGCCUAGCGGGACUGGCUACACGAUCCAUCGAGUAAACGACGGUGGUUCCGUGCACAUGGACGACCACCGUAACUCAAAAGUAGAAGAAGUGGGUCAAAUCUAUUUUCAUUCUCCACACCCCUCUAUUCACUCUUUUUAUCUCUUCUCUUGAUAUUUUCCAAACCAUCCUCUCUUUCUUACCUUGCCUUAUCCUCUUCCCUCCUCUCUCCCUCCCCCUCCCUUAUCCUCUUCCAGGGGCGCGGUCGGGGGCCGCACGGCGGGCCAGAGUGGCAGGCCAGGAGCUGCGUGGCCGGCAGGGACAGGCCUGGUGAGCAGCGGUGGCUCGAGCCCGCGGCAAGCAGCGUCGACGGCCAGCUCUGGCGACGACGAUCCUUCUAUCCACUGCGGCGAGCAGCUCUGGGUUUCUUCUCUUUUUUUUUUCAAGUCGUGGGAGGAGUAGCAGUGGAGAUUGGGACAUUGGGUGUUUGCGGUAAUACUGCAGCUAGACAGUUUGAGUUUGCAUGAAAAUAGAGAAGCAUUUGUAUUCUUUCGAUAAUGAAAAUGGAAAUACCUGUAUAAUCUCUUCAUUUUCAGUUAAAUUUUGUGCGGUGGUGUCAUAUCUUCUUCAUUUUCAGUUAAGUUUUGUGCGGGCACAGUUCCUAGCAGCGGUGGUUCCUGGCAGGGGUGGCCAGGGCGCAGCUCCCCGCGGCGGUGAACCGGUGGCCGCAAGCACGGGCACAUGCUUUUUUAUUAUUAUUUUUUAUUAGUGUUGGUUCCGGUUGGUUUUACCAAUCGAGAUUAAAAAUUAUUUUUAUCCCGGUUAUCUCAUCGGGAACGAUCGGAAAUUUUAGUUCUGAAUUAAUGGUCCUGGUUGGAAAAUCGGGAUAACUAAGAUUUCCCAACCGAAACUAAUAGGUAUUUCUGGACCAGUGUCGGGCCUAUUUUCGUGUAACCACGGCGAGCCGGCGAGUCGGGAGAUGGACACGUCCGCAUGGAUAAUAUUGGGGCGAAAAGUGUUCAGAUCUCACCGUCGUGAUCAGAUCCACCUAAAGCACUACGCAUGCAUGCCGUCUCGGUUGACCUUUACUUGCCAGCGGGCAGUGCCGUCCAUGCCGGAACUGUGUCUCCUCCUACUACUAGUGUCUAGCCUCGCCUAACAUUCACUAGCCAUCUCGUGCUCCUCACAUGGCUUCUUAUGAGCAUAACCACUGCUACAAAUGUGGUACUAGCAGGACUGAACUGAUGCCCUCUUUCCGUGAACAGCAAAACGCGGCAACGGUUAAAAAGAAUCUUUCAUUGGUGAUAAAGGAACCCACCUCGGUCCUCAAGAGUUGAGAUUUCUGGGGGCUGAACUUCUUGUUCAGACUUCAGAGUAGAUACGAACCUACCGUGCUCUGAUGGUGCUAAUCCACAGAGCCUGUGUGACGCAACGGAAGCAAGCUAAACGUGCCAGGAAACGGCACAGCAGAGCACAAGUCAAAUGCACAGUAGCGACGGAAAGGGAACGGCAGUGCCAAAAAUUCUCAGUCCAUGCACCCGAAAGUUGAUUUUGCCGUACUGCCGCGGACGAUGAGCAUGGCACUCAGUGGGAAGCAAAUCCUUUGUCCACAAAAUUUCUUCAGUCCGAAGACCAGUAGACCACUGAGGCUGAAGCCCACUCAGUCGGAUGCAGUUUGGUCCAAACACACGGCCGCACAAGUCGCAACACGGACCGAUCGAUAAGGUCGAGAGCCCAUCAGAUUGUCAGUGCAAGUCAUUCGGGCUCAGGGCAGGGGGUAGAGAGAACAUGCCAAAUCUAACCGAUCCUCAGGAUACUCCAUAAGAUUCAUUGUACAGAACUUCCUUUGUCCAAAUCAUGGGAUUUACACUCCUAAUGAAACGUUAAAAAGCUGCUGUUCUGUUACUACUACUGAUCAUGCUCAUUUAGCGUCCAAACCACCACACAAGCUUCAAGCAUUUUAUUUUACCAGAUUACCGCAGGAAGAAAUCCAAGUCCCAAAUUCAAAAAUCUGUAGCAGUGUACCGAGAGUCUCAAGGUCAGGUUGGAUGUUCAUUCAGGAGAUCGAAGUCACUUUGAAGAGACAGCCUUGCUAAUUGCCGUGCACCCAAGCGCGAAUUUUGCUGAAGUGCCUGCUCGCAAGUCCAAAACACGGAAUUCGCGGCGACGGCCCAGUCGGCGCUCGCGCAGUCUCCGAAUGUCCCAGCAGCUCCCAACCCGAGAUAAUGGGUUUGGUACAACAUCAAACUCAAGAUUCAAACGGCCACUAUAUAAGGCGCCAGAUGGAGGAGACCCAGAGGCAGACCAACCAAGCAGUGAAGGGAGCGAAGCAUGAGCACCGCAAGCAUGAGGGCCACUGCCCUCCUCGUCGCUCUUGCCACUGCGCUCGCCUCGUGCUGCGGCGCCUCAUCGCCUCACCACGCCUUCCCGCCGGCAGAAGCACCGGCUCAGGCGCCCAAUGCCGAGGCGCCGCUGACGGGGCACCGUGGCCCCGAGCACGGCAAGUGUCACCGCCAUGAGCUGACGCCGGCGGAACCACCGUCCUACCACGGCUCGCCUGACCACAAGCACCAUGGCCAUCGUGGCCACCAUCGCCGUCACCACCAUGACCAUCACGAAGCUCCGCCAAGCCAUUCCCCUGCUCACCACCCUCCACCGCCCCCUCAUCCCCACGCGCCGCCACCACGUUUUACACCCCCUGGUCACCAUGCGCCGCCACCACGUUAUACACCCCCUGGUCACCAUGCACCACCACCCCAUUUCCCACCCCCUAAACAUCAUUCACCGCCACCGCCUCAUUCUCCGCCCCAGGCUCACCUUGCGCCUCCUCCCCCAGCUCACUACACACCACCGCCUCAGCACUCGCCGUCACCCCCAGCACACCACUCGCCACCCCCGCCUCCAUCCCGCUACCCACCGCAUGUCCCAGCACCUCCACCGCACAAGCAUUCGCCGCCACCUUCUCAUGGCAAGGCACCACCACCACAUGGUCACAGGAAAUUCCCGCCGCCAAUGCGAUCACCGCAUUCAGCUAUAGCACCCUCACCCGCUGAUUACAGUGGCAUCCCACCAUCUGAGCAAGGUCCCAAGCUCCCAUAUCAUGCUGCCCCUAGUAACGCGCCUCUAGCAGGUCAAAAUGGAGCAUCACCUCCGUGGUAUGUUUGAUGCUAGAACCAAGAUAUACACAUACACUUGCCUGAGUUGUUAGUAAGAUUGCGGUUGAACUUUGCACAAGAGAUCAAAAGCUCAAUAGCUACUUCAGAGGGCAGCCUUGCUUUUUCAUUAUACUCUGUUCCCAGUAAGAAGAUUACCGAAUCAAUUAUGUACCUCAUUUUGAAGUCAUGUUGUUCUUGGAGUCCUGUAUCAAAAUGUUUCUCUGUGAUCAGUUGGUAUCUAUGUUAUGAGAUCCAUACUUUACAAAUUAUCCAAUCGUUGAUCUUGUAUGCCUUUAUUCUCCAAUGUUUCAAGUAAAUGUUGUAUAUUCCUUUAAUCUAAUUGAUGACUAAUGAUAGCAUCACCUGAAACAUAACCUUAACUGGCUCCAGUGCAAAAUUUAGAGGUAUGGAAUCCAAUAUCAUACCACAAAAGUUGAUUCAAUCACAGAGCACAAAUACAAACAAAAACUUAUUUCAGAAGAACUAUCUCUCCUCUUUUACAUUAUUUCACUGAAACUCUGUAAGGCUUAGUGAAUUACAGCUCCAUGCUAAAUGUUCUUCCUUCCCGAAAAGGAACAGAGAUGCAGGGAGUGGUCAAGUACGAUUACCAAAGUAGGGAAAAAAAAGUGAACUCACCUGGUGGAUGAUUCCAGCAACAGAAAUCUCACAAAGUGCUGAAUUUUAUAACCUUCUAUAAGAAAUUCACAGCAGAAUUUAGCUUAGUCACUAACAUAACAGAUGAAAGCCCAUAAGGCCAAACUUUAUCAACUAAACUAAUGCAAACUUAAAGUGGCUUGAGAGCAUGACAAACAUAUUGUUACACGAACUAAUAAACCAGUGAACGACUCCUAUGUUAUAUUCUUUCCCGAAAUAGCUAGAUCAAAGCUGAAAAGACAUAAUUGAUGAACUAAUUGUUUACAAAGUUCCUUAAGAGAACAGCAAAGAUAUCGUCAACGGGGCUUAAGCAGCAGGAUCCUAUGUGUUAAAAUGGUGUACCUGCAAAUGGUGUAAUAGUAAUACAUAUCGCUGUGUGUUUAUCAUGUUCGGGGUUGUCUUAUACACCAUAUAAAUCAGGAGGCGAUACUAUAUUAGUAUGUCCUUCGGUAAAUCAUCAUAACAACUUUCCUAAUCAAGAAUGAUCAUCACAACUCACAAGCAUGAAUAAAAACGCAAGAUUCGUUUACUUCUAGAAACACAAACUCUGAAAUAUAUACGUACGCUUAAUGUAAACCCAUGUAACCCCAAACAUCUUAAUGCCACAUUAUUUGGCUAGUCUCGAAAACCAAAGCAUUCACAGAAAAUGACCAUCGACUACAGAAAAAAUGAACGGAGUAACUAAUCAACAGAAUUAGCACUCCAUCUGGCAUUCUGGAUGCGUAAGGAACUAAACCAUUUCGCUGACUGCAUCUCUAAGCACUUGGUGUACUGGUCCACCCAUUUUCACACCAAACCCCUACAUAAGUCUGUCUGGCAUCGUCACUUACAAUUUGCAAAGCCUGACCAAACGUGCACGAAUUUAGCAUCCAUACCCGUUAGGCCCUGUCUGCUACCAUUAAUUAGUAGGAACCAGCACAAGAAGGAAGCCAUACACGCACGGAUCGCAAACUCACACAGGCCCUCACAAAUGCCUAAUCAGACACCACAAGCGCAGGAAGCGCGGUGUACGACGAAGCAAAAUUUAUAGAAGUCGCCUCCAGGGAUCAUCCCGAUCGAGGAGCGAUCGAAAUUCGAACCACCCGCAUAUCCCAAAUUUACCUCGCGAUCACGCAAACUGUGCGCGCAGCAAGGCCCAUCCUCGGUGCUCCGCUCCGGCCUCCGGGCCGCCAAAGCACUAGGAGGGAACGGGCCCGCGCGCCGCCGCCAUCGGCAUCCGAAGCGACAAGAUCAAAGUGGUGGCGCGCCGGAGGUUACUGGAAGAUUCCAGGUGAUCGAGGGGUGGAUGGCGAUUGCAAUUUGUGGGGCGCUACUCGCUCGCUCGCUGCCCUCCUGGCCCUGGGUGAAUUUUGGGCCUCGAGCGAGCAGCAAGUGGCGGGUUCUUUGCUUAUUGGGCUUUUGCCUUUGCCUCUACGGCCCGGUUUGACGAGCCCAUGGUGCGGAGCCAAACUGGCCUACUAGCCAGUGCGGCGGCGGAGCCCCUCCCGGAGGAGCUCUGGAGCCGCCGAGGGGGUCGGCGGUGGCGGAGGAACUCGCGCUCGCGCACAUCCUGCUUCGCGCGGUGAAGGAGCCUGGCGCCGCCGAUGGGAGCCAGGGGCGGGAGGGAGACCGGCACCCUCGCGGCGCGGUACCGCCGCUGCCUAGUCGGUAGCACCAGCCACCCAGCGCCACGCCGGUGAGCUCCCGUGAGCCUCCCAUCGCUUCCUGCUAUGUUCCUCUCUAGGCUGCGUCCUGACGCGUUUUCCCAAGUUUGUUCGAGCAAAGCUUAGCAGGCUAUUAUUGAGGCGCGCGGUGACAGAAGACAGGAUUGUUAUCACGAAUUUAGCCAACUGGCUUUAGGAGGAAUUUAAGACUUCCUGAUUUUUGUGAGAAAAAGCGAUACUUACCCAUCCAAAACAAAAUUAGCUGAAACAGCACUUGUACAUAUUGCAGCUUAGCUGUCCUGAGUGCUAGUGGACUUGGGGUCCUAAGACUAAUUUAGGCCGCCUUCUUAGAUCCCUGGUGGCAAAUUCUAUUGUAGAUACAGGUGAGAAGUGGGAGUGCCAUUUUGAGGCCUAGAUGCCCGAAUUGACUAGCUAUUUCCAACCCCCAGUGGUCAGUGCCAUCUAGUUAAUUGUUGAGUCAAUAAACUUUAGUAAUAAUGCAUGCAGUUCCACCAACCACUAGCAGCACAAAAGUAACCUAUCUAUUGGAUUUCCUCUCCAGAUAAAAAAAACUAUCUAUCGGAUAAGAUCGGGAUCCCUCCAUCGACUAGAUGUCACAUUCGCCUUUACCUUGAUUCAACAUGUUUUUAUCUGUCGUUGGAUGAUCCAAUCAACAAAGGCAUGCAAUCUCUUGAUAUGCAUCAUUAGUUAGACCACUUUGGUCUUUGCAGCUAAUGUAGGUCCCAGAUUUAUGAAAGAUAAGCUAGGUAGAUUGUUCUUCAAUGAACAUUUUGCUAGAAUUUGUAAAGUGGUAUUCAAAAUGUUGUAUUUUAACAAUAAUUAAGGCCUACAAAUGAUGUCAAACUGCUCAGAUAGUAGGCCUGUAUGAGUUAUACCAUAGAUGUGUCUUACAACCAGCUCUCUCCUUCUCCCUACCUUUGUGUGCCUCAUCCGCAGUGAUGAACUUGCGGACCAGAGUUAACACAAAGUGAUAGCACUAUAUUUUACUUGUGUUUGUGAAUCACACAUGAAUAUCCAAAUGAACCCUUCUCUAGAAGUGUGUGUAUGCGCUAUGAAUUCACCCAAUCUAUAUAUAAAGUGUUGUUCUAGUAAUUGCUACAGAUUGGAUAAAGAUGCUAUGAAUGCACCCAAUCAAUAUACAUGUUUAUCUGAUCUCUUAUGGCUUACCUUCAGGGUCUUCUUGAGUAAAGUAUUAGAUUAAAUAAUGCCUUUACUAGGGAAACAAUUUGCAUAUGCAACUAAGAGUUUUUCUUAUUCUGGAUCUACCAUCAAAUGUUGCCUUGGUUUGCACUUUCAUGUUUCAACAGACUCUUGGCUUUCUGUAUGGUAUCUGGUGGCUAGCUCACUGGAGGUGGCAGCAUCAGUGCUAAGCGUAUUUCUCGGUGGCUUGAUUUUGGACGGGCAGGACAUCAGAAAGUGACAAAUGAGGGUGUGCUCUUGCAGAUCUUUUGUGUUCCAUACAGUCCGAAGUCUUUUAUACAUGUUAAUAUUGACGUAAAGACACAGUGUUCCAGAAAACUUCUGUAGUAUGAGAUACCCAACAUUAUUGCCUUUAGCAUCUGCAUUAUAUAUUGCAACUGACUAUGCUUUUCCUUGUCUUGUAGUAGCUUUAUUCCCACCUUGUUGCGAGAUAGAUCUGCGUAUGAAUUUAUCAAUGUCCCCUCUUCCCCUUCUUCUCUCUAUUACCAACUUAUCCUAUCUUCUCUGUCAUUUAGGAGUCGUGUCUAUAGCAAGGAUAGCAUGGUAAUUUUCUCUAUCAUUUAUAGCAAGUAUACAAUGGUAGUUUUCUCUUGUUUUUCACCUUGUUAAUCCUUGUGGCCAUGUUAGGCAAGAAUGCAGGCAAGACAGAAACAGCCAGAUGCAUCCAUGUAAUUGCACAUGUGGAUUUUCCUUAAGCUUUUCUAUGGAUGAACACCGAUCGGUACACAGACCUUUUGUUCUGUUUUUCUUUCUUUUCCCGGUUUAGUUUUAUCACUUUUCGUUGAAUGGAUCUUAUGUCUCCUGCAGACUAACUUAAGAUAAGCAUUGAACCAUGCCUGUAACUUAAGAUUGACUAGAUAGAUCUAAGGCUCCAAAGCAUAAAGUGAUGGGUUGAGAUAAGCUUAAUUAUGGAUAGCCUGGAACAAUCAUAUGACUUACGCGUAGAUGUCUACAACUUCACACUGAAGAGGCAUUAGCAUAAUGGUUCACCAAGGAGUUCUUGUGACAACCAAUUUUCUGCGUAUCCGAAAUUGGAACUAUUGUUAUAUUUUUCACAUUCUACAGAGCUCAUACGACAGCUUUGCUCUGUGCAGGUAGGCAUAAUUAGAAACUAAGAAGAUUAAUCAGAAUUAGUACAGACUGCAGAGGCAGUAUGUUUGGCCAAGAAUUUCAGUGACAACUAUUUGUUCAAAUUGAAAUAAAAAGAGACUAGCUAGGGGAUCCAAGUGAUUUUGUAUUAAGAAGGAAAUAAUCACCCAAUUUUUUUGUGAAAUGGACCCAAAUUUGGGUGGUGAAUAGUCAACAUAUAUUGUGCACACCUGCACCUCCGGCUAACUGAGCAAAUCUUGAUUCCUGGAAAUCAUUGGUUCCUCCACCAUGAUAUUUGCUUCUCAUCAAAGCAACCACAGUCGUUAAGUCCAUAUUCUUUUUUUUAAUGAAACAGGAGGGUUUGCCCCCUACUGGUUAUAUAUUAAUUUUUGGAAAAAGAGGUGAAGAUACAAAUAAAAGAAGCACAAAAAUAAAAACAGAGAGUCGACAUAUCUAAUUUGCAUGCCGCAGAAGUCAUGCUACUUCUCAUUAUCAACAAAUCCAUAUUUAGAAAAAGGUACUUCCUUCAAAUUAUUUUAAUGGAGUGCCCGGGUUAUGUUUAUCCAUAUUACUUAAUCAGUCCUUUCCAUACUACACUGAUCAACGAGGUCAGGUGUCAGCACGUAGUUGGCUACCAGCUAAGCUUAUGGAUGUUGGCACCAUAUGAAAGAAACAUACAGCUUUGUGGAGGAAGCAACACUCAUAGUUUAUAUAAUGCUUCAUAGAUAACAUGUUUAACUUAACUUUUUGUGCCUAAAUUGCUUUUUGUCGACUAACCACUCAUUCAAGGGGUGCUUUACCCAGUAGGAUUGCUGUUGAUGGCCCAGGCAGUUCUAAUCUGACAAAUCAUCCUCCAAUUUGUGAGAUUGCUAUGGUUCACACUAAGUGGUGGGGAUCAAAACAGAGCAACUAGGAAUAAACAUAGAAUUUGUGAGUGCGCAAGGAAUAUGUAGCUGCUCCAUUUCCUUUGCAUUUAAGCUUAGAUGAUUCCUUUUUCAUUUUUUAGUAUUAGGUGCUGUCCUUAUCUUUCUUGUAGCUAGAUGUUAAAUUAUGUCACUGUUGGCUGUAUAUUUUAUUCUAAGUUGUCAUGUUUUCUCCUUGGAUCUGUUAAUGCCUAAACAGUGUAGUUUACACAUGAGUCAAGUGAAAUGAUUAGCUCAUCCAGCAUGUUCGUUUCCUGCAGUUAGGAGUCAUCUUUAUAUAAAAUGAAGAAGAAUUGCACUGAGUUUAUGGCAUUCCUGACUUAGUUCCUGUGAAGUCAUGAAUCCACUAAUAGAGGUCAAAUAGCUGAUUACAGCCAGAAUUUUCACAGCCACACAUAAUGACCCUAUAGCUGGAUAGAAGCCUACAAUAUUUUACAGCCAACCAGCAUAACCUUAGAGCUGGUUUGAAGCGGAUGAAACUGAUGCAGCUACAGACAGUGGUUAGUAUAUAUUUAUCCUAUUCCAGUCGCCAUGCUCCUUUCCCUGAACCAGACAAAUGCGAGUUCCAUUUUAUGCAAUUCUUAUAUCCACGCUUUGCAUAUGUACUUCUUAUACAGUAUUAUCAGGCAGACAAGAGAUGGUGCUGCGUGUGGCCCUCUGAUUCCCAGAGAAACCCACUGAGAUGCAGCCCACUUGCCACAAGCAAAGAAGCUUCCAAUUGCCUUCCAACCUUUACCAAAUGCUUUUUGUCUCAAUUGGCUGGCAGAGAUGAAAGGGGCAAGGGCGAAAGAGGUAGCGUAUCGUACCAAAUAAAAGAAUUCAGUAGCCAUAUUAUUGCAGUCUUUAUGGAGCCUAUAAAUACUUCAGCACAAACCCAGCUUAUGAUUCUACCUGAGGCAGACAAAAGAGAGAGAGCAAACCUACGCAAGAGACAGAGCUACAGAAUUGCACUUGCAGGAUUCUGAAGAAAGCCGGGUUUGUGCCCAAGAAGGACAUGGAGUACCCAAGAAGGACACUACUGCACACUCCAUUCUCUGGGCAUCCCUCUGGCUCGAGCCAUCCAGUUGAUGGAACCGCCGCCACAGAUGGAGGCUCUCCUGGAAGCAACUUCGACGCAAACAUCGUCAUGAUCCUGGCUGUUCUUCUCUGUGCACUGAUCUGCGCGCUCGGGCUCAACUCAAUAGUCCGGUGUGCGCUGCGGUGCUCGAGCCGAGCGGUUGUUGAUCCCGUGCCGAACCCGGUGGCACGUAUGGCUCAGAGCGGGCUGAAGAGGAAGGCCCUCCGAGCCAUGCCGAUCCUGGUCUACUCGACCGGGCUGAAGCUCAAUGCUGCCAACCCGAUGUGUGCGAUCUGUCUCUCCGAUUUUGAGGCUGGAGAGCAUGUCAGGGUCCUCCCCAGGUGCAACCAUGGGUUCCAUGUCAGGUGCAUCGACCGAUGGCUCUUGGCGCGGUCGACGUGCCCGACAUGCCGGCAGUCCUUGUUUGGAUCUCCGCAGAAGGCCUCUGGCUGCUCUGAGUCGAGCUGGGUCGAGCCUGCGCCUGCCCGCUCUGUCCUCGUGCCACUCAGACCUGAAGGUUUGGUCACUCCAUAUGAUUUUUAGUCUCUUCAGUUGCUUCUUUGGUGUUACAUGAAGGACGAGAGGUUGAGAAAAAGUAGAAACAAAAAAUUGUGAUCAUUAGGAUACUGCCAAUCUGGCUUGUACAUUGUUGCUGGAGAAAAAGAAAGAAUUGUACAGAUUUCCUCAGUUUUCUAUUUGUUAUGUUGGUGCCAAUUGUUGAUGGAGAAUGUGCCAUGGAAAAUGCCAGGUUCUCUGGGCCUUUUGUGAAUCACAUUUCCAUGUGAAUUUGCAAAAUGAGACAAAAGAGAGGGACAUGAUUGGCAGGGCUAAUGAUAUGGGCAGUGCCGCACCACCAGUCCAUCGUGGUGAUUGGGGAUCAAGCUUUUUGCAGUUUUGCUGCUAAGGUUCAUGGUUUCAGUGGGGGCAGCAUAUUCUACAGCCAUUAUUGAGAGAUCAGGGGCUGUGCAAUCUGCUGCAAGGCCUUAGUGGCCAUGAAUCAUGUGUGUGUGUGUGCCCCCAGAACUGAGAGAGAGGCUGCCCCACGCCCAACUAAACCUGAUGCACAUUGGCUGGGGUGGCUAUUUCCUUCGUGUGAUGUGCUGCCAACAGGAGACCAGAUUGGCCAGUGAUAGAAGCCCAGGUGACGUGUCCAUCCGCCAUUGCACGAUGCGCAUGUGGUUUUUCGGCUGUUUGCCCUAAAGGCUGAAGCUAGUAGUGCCUCCGGAGAAUCAGCUGUUUCGGCUGUGCUUGUGGUUCUCGUACGAGUUGCUGUGAGAAACAAGAAGAGAAUGUGUUGGCUUGUGCUCGCUGAAAAGGAGGGCUGCCUGGAUGCCCACUCAAGGUAAGAUACGCUAGUCUCUUCAGAGAUGAUAUGGCUUUUUGGCCCGGACAUAAUAUUGCUUCUGUGCUAUUGGGAUAAGGAAAUUCAGUAGUAGUGCUGCUGCCUACUUGAAUGGAUCACUCGCCCAGAUACGCAGUUGCCUCCUGCACAUUUUUUUUUUGUUUUUUGCCUUGUGUGUUUUGGAAAGUGAGCUGGGGCACUGCUGUCGCAGUGACCAGAUUGGAAUCAUUCUCUUGCUGGACGAGAUUUUUACAGCAAGGGCGAAACAAAAAUUUCUAAAGAGUUCGCAGGAAGAGAGAACAUUCUCCAAACGGUAAUCUAGGCUUCAUCAGCGAACAAAAGUUACCUGCUGGGAUGGCACUCGAUCCCUGCAGGUAACUACGCAGUAGGAGCACAGCGCGCCUGCUGGGACCCAAAUCCAAUCGCCAAUGAUGUUUCCGUGUGGCAAUUUUCUGAUGGAACUCGAAAGGUUUCAUCCCCAAAACUCCAAAAGGAGGCGGUUACAGGAUGGGUCAGGUGAGGUCAUGUCACGCGGAAGCAUAAGCUGAUCGGUAGGUGAGUGGGAGUUCAGCAGAGAGAGUUCGUCUGUCUAUCAUGGCAGGCACAAAGACGACCGAUUUAACGUUCGGCGCCCGCUGAUUCUCUCGUUCGACGUGGUCGGCCUCUCUCCGUGUCCAGCACGGCGCGACACGUCUCCUGCAUUUUGGCCAUGACCAGGACUCCAAGCUUCAUGCAGGCAUGAAUGGCCAUUGAUUUUUCUUUUAAAAAACAAAAGCUUCAGGAGUGGGCCGGCCAGUGGGCGCGUGAUCUCCCUCGCUAGUCGCCACUCGGCUCGCGAAGCUACGGAGGAAGGAGGUGAGACCACCGUGUGGGUCCUGCUAUCCGCUCCAUCGCCGCGUCACCCAAUGGCGUAGCAGCAUCACCCGUCACGCGGAUCGGCACCGCCAGGAGCGCCACCCCCACCGUCCAUCCCCAUCCGACGGCUGAAACCCACCGAUCCAGCCUCCCUUCCCUCGCCCCGCCCGCGCCUCCCCCGAAAAUUUCAAGAUCCCGCCUCCACCGCUCGCUUCAAAUACCCCGCCCCACGCCGCAGCAGCUCGCAUUCGCAAUCCAAGUUACCGAUCCGCCGGACCCUCCCCGCCUCCUCGCGCCGCCCGUCCCCCGCCCCGCUCCGAUGGCCCGCACGAAGCAGACGGCGCGCAAGUCGACCGGCGGCAAGGCUCCGAGGAAGCAGCUGGCCACCAAGGCCGCCCGCAAGUCGGCGCCGGCCACCGGCGGCGUGAAGAAGCCCCACCGCUUCCGCCCCGGCACCGUCGCGCUCCGCGAGAUCCGCAAGUACCAGAAGAGCACGGAGCUUCUCAUCCGCAAGCUCCCCUUCCAGCGGCUGGUGCGGGAGAUCGCGCAGGACUUCAAGACGGAUCUCCGGUUCCAGUCGUCCGCCGUGGCGGCGCUGCAGGAGGCCGCGGAGGCGUACCUGGUGGGGCUCUUCGAGGACACCAACCUGUGCGCCAUCCACGCCAAGAGGGUCACCAUCAUGCCCAAGGACAUCCAGCUUGCGCGCCGCAUCAGGGGCGAGAGGGCGUGAUCGCCUCUGCUGCUGCAUGGUCGUCACAGCGCUAGAACUAGAUGGGGGGAUUUUGUUUCUUGCCGUGCUGUCUUGUAGUAAUGUUCUGGAUGGGUUGGCCGCACUGCAAUGGGACGUGAUUGCUAGUUUCUGAAAAUUUCUGAAUGUCUCUGUUCUUGGGAGAUAUGCUGCCUGUUCUUUGUGAUUAACGUGUUGAUUUAGCUUGAAAGAGUAAAUCUGCGGGAGAUGGUUUUAGCAUUACGUGCCUGCAGAUUGAAUUGUGCCUGUUGCGUAUGUUUCCCCCCUUCUGUUUGCUUUAAAGGCUGGAGUUACUGCAAAUGUGGUUGCAGAAUCAACGAGCUUAACUGUGCUCUUCUCGUUCUCAUGAGUUGCCAACGCAAGCAGUAUGAUAAUAUUGGCUUGUGAAAACGAAAACUGCCGGGAUGCCCACAUAUGAUUGUAUCCUUAGAGAUGAUGGGGGUAGACAUCUCACUAUGAUAGUGUUUAUGCAUUAAUCCGGUACGGUGGUAUGUAAUAAUAGUGUUUAUGUAUCCAUCAGCAGAAACCUGACAGCUACAUUGCCGCUCCAUUCAGGUUGGAGUAACUUCAUCUCUACAGGUAACAAUAUCAUAGAAAUUUCUAAAAUGAAAAAUGAACUCUCGAAACAGUGUUUCUAGACUGAAACAAUUGAGAGAUGAGGGGAACUAACACAUAGAACCUGAUGCAAUCGAGCUUGUAAUUGCGGUUUUAUUAUAUUCCAGACAGUUUCAACCGUGACAUAUAUCUCGAUUGUUUGCAAAGGAAAAAAGAAAGAUAUGGAUUCUGUUUACUCCCCUAAUUUGAUCCAAACGCUUGAUUAAAUUCCAUGUAUAUAGUGCCAGACUAUGUAGAAGCAUUUCACUAAAAUGAAAACUACGAUGAAACUUGAAGCUAACAAUCCAAUAAUGUUUCCGUGUUGCAUUUUUCUCAAGCACCUCAAAGGUCAACAUCCCAGAAGGCCACAAGGGGCUGUGAGAAGAGCAAGUAACUACCUAGAUAGCACGGGGAGAAACAAAUCCCCCAUCUAGUUACAUGACUUGAUGGUGAUGGAGGAUGUUACAUCAGUCACCUGGAUGCCUGCCACGAUUUAACAUCCUCCACUCUUCUGUUUAUGCGUUUCAGGGAGGAAUGGAUACAGGGCGAGCUGCAGAAUUGGUUUCAGCGUUAUGUGCCUGCAGAAUUGAUUGUGCCUGUGGCCUAUGUUUUUUCCCUUCUGUUUGCUUUAUAGGUUACAGUUACUGCAAAUGCAGUUGCAGAAUCAACGAGGUUAACUGUGCUCUUCUUGUUCGCAUGAGUUGCCAACGAAAGCAGUAUGAUAAUGUUGGUAUGUGAAAACGAAGACUGAGGGGAUGCCCAGAUAUGAAUAUGAUUGUAUCCUUAGAGAUGAUGGGCCAGACAUCUCACUAUGAUAGUGUUUAUGCAUUAAUCCGGUAUCUAAUAAUAGUGUUUAUGUAUGCACCAGCACAAAUCUGACAACUACAUUGCCGCUCCAUUCAGGUUAGAAUAACUUCAUCUCUAUCGGUAACAAUAUCAUAGAAAUUUCUAUAAGGGCCCGUUUGGAUGUGAAUCACAUUCUAGCAAUUUCAUUCAAUAGGAAAUGAAUCUCUAGAAUAUGACUCAAUUCAAUUUUCCUGUUUGGAUAAAACUAGAAAUAUUUUCCUAGAAUUGAUAUUUGGCUGUAUUGAAAUAUAGAAUUUGUUCUUUGUACAAAUAAUCUCUCUCUCAAACACACCCUUCUCACAAUUUACUCUCUCCUCUCUCUCACGCACACCUGUUACAAACAACACACAUCUCAAGUAACAGGACAGGAGCUGUGAACGGAACAACAUAACAUGAGACUACCAGAACUACCAGGACAUCACUGCACGCUAGAAUAACAGCUGUGGACAGCAGCACAACCAUCACACAUGUUUGGAAUUCAGCCAUCAGUAUCCAUCCUCCUCCUGUGUGCUGUGGACAGUAAUGCACUGCGCCACUACAACAUGCCAGCCGGUUGCUUUGCUUCGCCAAGGAGGUAAAGGAAUGGCGUAACUCCUUGACACUGGGUAAAGCUCAGCAUCAGUAGCGCCGGACACAGCUAAUUGCUGCCUGCCUCACUAACGCGCGCCCAACUGUAACAUCACGCCAGUCUCGUGUAUAAAUACGCACGGAAUCCAUGGUCACACCAGGUUCAGAUUCGGAUGCCGGCUGGGUUAAUAAGCUCUAGCAACACACUAGGCAGUAGAUUAAUACAGUGGUCGCUAGUGCUAGAGGAAUCGAUCGGAGUUUCGGCAGGCAACCAUCGAGGAGGAGGGACUUGGCACGAUCGAGCAGGUGAGGCGAUGGCGGCACGGAUGGUCGUCGGAGUGGCCGUGGCCCUAUAGACAUUUGCAAAAGACAUGUUUUAGCUUCAUGAAACAACAAUCUUAACAAGUCGGUCAUGACCACAUAAGUGAUAAAUCUGUUAUCAAGCAAUCAAUACUUGUUCAACUAGAUGUUCUACAAAUAAUAUUUUCUACAGUUAAAAGUUAGCACAUUAGGUAGCAACUACAAUUUAAGAUAGCAAAGACUUUACCACUAGUCACUGCAGCUAUUAUACACUAGUCCAUAAAAGGCAAAAACUUAUGCAAAGAAUCUGUAGCAGCCAUGUUUUAGGUACUUUAUGCAAAGAAUUCACCACCACCACCACCAACAACUUAGCCUUUUUUCCCAAGCAAGUAGGGGUAGGUUAGAGAUAAGACGCACAGAAAACAAGAAUAAGAAACACAAAAAGGGUACAAGCUAAAGGAAGAGUUAGGGGUUAAACAAAAAAUAACAAAGGUCACGGUUCAGGUACGUUAAUUGCUAAUCUCCAAGCGCUCCGAUCCAUAACUAAUUUCUUAGCGAUAUUCCACUCCUUAAGAUAUCUCUUGACCGUCUCGUCCCAAGUUAGUCUAAGUCUACAUCUACCUCUCCUUACAUUAUCGCCCCACUUUAAAACUCCACUACGCACCGGCGCCUCGGGAGGCCUCCAUUGUACAUGUCCAAACCAUCUCAACCGAUGUUGAAUCAACUUCUCCUCGAUAGGUGCCACCCCGACCCUAUCUCGAAUCUCUUCGAUCCGGACUCUAUCCCUUCUUGUAUGCCCGCAGAACCAACGCAGCAUACGCAUCUCUGCUACACUCAGUUGCUGGACAUGUCGCCUUUUUGUAGGCCAACAUUCAGCACCGUAUAGCAUCGCCGGGAGAAUCGCCGUCCUAUAGAACUAAUCUUUUAGCCUCUGUGGCACCUUCUUGUCACAGAGGACGCCAGAAGCCUGCCGCCACUUCAACCAACCGGCUGAAAUUCUAUGCCUAACAUUUUCAUCAAUGUCUCCAUCUUUCUGAAGCAUUGAUCCUAAAUACCAAAAAGUAUCCUUCUUGACCACCACUUGGCCUUCGAGGCUAACGUCCCCAUCCUCAUGCCUAGUCGGGCUAAAGUCGCACAUCAUAUACUCGGUCUUGGUCCUACUCAGUCUGAACUCCCUCGACUCUAAUGUGUGUCUCCACAGCUCCAACUUCAUAUUAACCCCUGCCCUACUCUCGUCAACUAGCACCACAUCAUCAGCAAAGAGCAUACACCAAGGGAUAUCACCCUGUAUGUCCCUUGUGUCCUCAUCCAUCACCAAAGCAAAUAGAUAAGGGCUCAAUGCUUACCCCUGAUGUAGUUCUAUUUUAAUUGGAAAGUCACUGGUAUCGCCAUCACAUGUUCGAACAUAAGUCAUCGCAUCCUUGUACAUAUCCUUGAUGAGGGUAAUAUACUUAGUUGGGAUUUUGUAUUUUUCCAAGGCCCACCACAUGACGUCUCUCGGUACUUUGUCAUACGCCUUCUCUAGGUCAAUAAAGACCAUGUGUAAGUCCUUCUUCUCCUCUCUAUAUCUCCCCAUCAACUGUCGUACUAAGAAAAUCGCCUCCAUGGUCGACCUCCCAGGCAUGAACCCAAACUGGUUUUGGGUUACCCUUGUCAAUCUUCUUAGGCGAUGCUCGAUAACCCUCUCCCAAAGCUUCAUCGUAUGGCUCAUCAGCUUAAUCCCCCGGUAGUUAGUACAACUUUGAACAUCUCCCUUAUUCUUGAAGAUCGGUACUAAUAUACUUCUCCUCCAUUCCUCCGGCAUCUUGUUUGACCGGAAAAUUAGGUUAAAAAGCUUAGUUAACCAUACUACUGCCCUCUCGCCCAGGCAUCUCCACACCUCAAUGGGGAUGCCAUUAGGACCCAUCGCUUUACCUCCCUUCAUCCUCUUCAAAGCCUCCCCGAUCUCUGCCUCCUGAAUCUUCCUCACAAAGCGUCUGUUGGUAUCAUCAGAUGAGUCGUCCAACUCGAAGGUAGGACUCUCAUUUUCCCCAUUAAACAACUUAUCGAAGUAUUCUCGCCAUCUGUCCUUGAUCUCCUCAUCCUUCACCAGAAGUCGAUCUAUCCCAUCCUUGAUGCAUUUGAUUUGGUUUAUGUCCCUUGUCUUUCUCUCACGGGUCCUAUCGAUCCUAUAAAUGUCCUUAUCUCCUUCCUUCGUACCUAGCCGUUGAUAAAGGUCAUCAAAAGGCUAACCUUUCGCUACACUUACAGCUCGCUUUGCAGACCUCUUCGCUAAUCUAUAGCCCUCGAUGUUGGCUGCGCUCUUGUCGAGGUGAAGGCGUUUGAAACACUCCUUCUUCUCCUUAAUAGCCCUUUGCACCACGUCAUUCCACCACCAAGUCGCUUUCACUUCCUGCUUGCCUCCCCUACUCACACCAAACACUUCUGAGGCCACCUUCCGAACACAUGUCGCCAUCUUUAGCCACAUAUCAUCUACAUCUGUUCCUUCUUCCCAAGGCCCCUCGCCUAGCAUCCUCUCCUUAAACGUUUGUGCCUCUUCCCCUCUAAGCUUCCACCACUUCGUUCUCGCAAUCUUGGCACGUUUGUCCCGGUGGGCACGUACCCAAAAACGAAAAUCCGCCACCACAAGCUUGUGUUAGGGGACAACACACUCCCCAGGUAUCACCUUACAAUCUAAGCAUGCACGUCUAUCCUCUCUCCUAGCAAGGAUAAAAUCGAUUUGGCUCGAGUAUUGUCCACUAUGGAAAGUCACUAGAUGGGACUCGCUCUUUCUAAAGAGGGUAUUCGCUAACAACAGGUCAUAGGCCACCGCAAAAUUCAAAACAUCCUCCCCCCCUCGUUCCUACUACCAUACCUGAAACCCCCGUGUACUCGCUCAUAUCCUACAUUAGUCGCUCCCACAUGGCCAUUGAGAUCUCCUCCUAUGAAGAGCUUCUCACUGAUAGGCACGGUACUAACCAUACUAUCAAGGUCUUCUCAAAACUGACUCUUGGAGCUCUCACUAAGACCUACUUGAGGGGCAUAGGCACUGAUCACAUUCAGAACCAAAUCUCCAAUGACCAACCGCACUAGGAUAAUCCGGUCGCCUUGCCUCCUAACAUCUACAACUCCAUCCUUAAGGCUCUUAUCGAUCAAGAUGCCUACACCAUUCCUACCCGAAGUUGUCCCCGUGUACCAGAGCUUGAAGCCAGAACCCUCCACCUCCUUCGCCUUCUGGCCCUUCCAUUUAGUCUCCUGCAUGCAUAGAAUAUUUACACGCCUCCUAAUUGCUAUAUCGACUAGUUCUCUUAACUUACCUGUUAGAGACCUUACGUUCCAACUACCUAAACGAAUCCUAGUUGGCUCGGGUAGCUUUCUUACCCUUCGCACCCGUCGAGAGAAAUGCGAAGACCCUUGCUCAUUUUUCACUACACCCGGGCGCAGAUGUAGCGUGCCACAGAGGCUGCGACGACCCGACCCUUGCUCACUUAUCAUCGUACCCGGAUCACGAUACGACGCGCCCCUGAGGGGAUGACGACCCGGCCCAUGCCCAUUUAGCACCACACCCUGGUUCCGAUGUAGCGCGUCGCUAAGAGGGUUACGCCCCAACGAAUUUCUUAUGGAUUUUAUUUCCAUUUGAGUGGCUGAUUUUUUACGCUGGUUCGCCAGACCUAACACAACCCUCCACAUUUUCUCAUCGCGAGCUUGGAACCGGCAAAGGCAGUGUUAUGCAAAGAAUUCACCAUGCUGAAAAAAAAGAGAUGACUAUUGGCUAUCACAAAUGAAUUAUAUACUAGUGUUAUAAGCUGGAAUAUCUGAACCUCUACUACUAUCUGAACAUCUACUCCUAUCUGGCCAUCACAAAAUUAAGGAUACAGCAGUAAACAAGGCUAAAGAAAUACUUUAGUAUCAACCUAUCACUCUUAUUAUUUAUACCAAUCACUAGAAACGAUUGAGUGGUUAGUUAAACCAUGACCGCUGUAUGAACUAUACCAAUAUAUUCAAAUCAGUAAAGAUAAAUUGUAGCAUGGAAUUUUACUGAUCAAGAGCAAAGAACAGAGCAUCACUAGAACUACUAGGUUUUUUCCUGAAACCAGCAGCUAAGCCUAAGCUAAACCCUAUCACUAGAAGCAAUUAAGUAAGACUCUUCAAUAAGUAGCAAAGAACAGUUAUUUCAAAAAGUAAGAACAGAGCAAGUCAUACAAGUCACAACUCACAACUGAUGAUCUUAGACUCAUACCAAGAUUCAUAAAGAGAAAAGAAUUGUUUGGAAAACAAAUGCAACAAACUUUAAUCUAUAAAAUGUGUCAAUCAAGUUAUUAAUUUGUCAACUUAAAUCUGAUAUGACAAUUAAACUAAGCCACCACCCCUUGCUAGGGUAGUCAAGUAGAGGCCACGAUAGUUUGCGUAGGCAUUCGAUGGCAAUGAAACCUUCUAUCACAGCUAGGUUCUGGCUACCCAAAUCAAACUGAAGGAUGCGAAACUGACUGCCAAACAAGUAAGAAUUGACCCGUACAGUUACCUAGCAAGCACAGAUGACCAACGACCUACAAGAAAAACAUCGAUGCCCUAGAACAAAUCAUGCCCAGAUCGAUCCUACAAGAAAAAAAAAA
RNAcentral lists this long non-coding RNA (76673 nucleotides) under Panicum hallii. RNAcentral describes it as "long non-coding RNA (PHAL_LNC000722)". The record is from RNAcentral. Lineage: Eukaryota; Viridiplantae; Streptophyta; Magnoliopsida; Poales; Poaceae.